AGGCUGGAAACGUAAUACUUGCACUCAAUUGCAGUGGUGUGGUGUUCAGGUCAUCUGAUAAGGUCAAUUUUUAUGAAAUGAGCAUUCUUCUUUUUGUCAUCUAUUCUGUUAGCAAUUUUCAUUUUUUUAUUGUAAACAUUUAGGUUAUCUAAGUUUGAUAAUGCUUUGCCUUCUAUUUUAAUUCUAUAUCCAGUCCAAAAUUUUGAAUCACACAUGGUUAUUUGAUACAUUAAUAAAGUUAGUUUCAGGAUUGAGAAUUCUUGUUUUUUUUUUGUUUUUUUUUUUUUGAAGUCUUUGUGUUUUUGUUUUUAUGUUGGUAGGAAAACUAUAUAUAUAUAGUGGGAUGGAUUGGGGUUUCUAGAUUCUUUCUUAGUGCCUAUACCAGAAUUCUAGUCUUGUGAUGAACUCUCUUGGUUGUUAUUAACUCGACUUUUUUGCUUAAUUGUUAUAUGUUACUGCUCUGAUUGAAUGGUAGCUCAUUGUUCAUGGUUGUUGAGAAUAUUGUUGUCAAUUGUUGUUGCUUGUAGUUUAUCAUUGAUAAUUGUGAGAAGUGUAUGAAUUCAUCCCUUUCUCAUUUAUAUGGCUGACUUCUGUGCAUUAAGAUAUAAGAGUGAGUGUGUUGUAUGGUAAUUCCACUAGCUGUUCAGGAAAUUAACUGAAAUGGAUGAUUCUGACUUGGACCUUAAUGAGAUGGAAUUAGUUGAUACUGCUGGUUAUUAGUCAUCUUUCUUCUGUCUUGUGUCUCGUAUUUGUAGGUUGCCAAUAAUCCAAAUGAAUCUGGCACGCGUACUGAUUUUUUUAUUACAACUCAUACUACGCCUGAUGGGACUUAUUUAAAUGAAGAGAUUGGUGAAAGAAUGGUAGGGAAAAUUCAGAAUGUUAUAGUUGUAAUUGUUAAAUAUAUGAUCUAAUUGACCUAUUCAUGUUAUACGCAGCAAAUGAUCAAAGACAUUGUUGCGUGUGACCCUAGUAGCAAACACAAAGACCUUGAUAAUGAUCCUGUUUCAGAGGUUUGUUAUAUAUAUUUAUAUUGCUUUUGAAGAAGCCAUAUAGUGGCUGAGAUAUAUUAUGAGGAAAUAGCUGACAUUUGUAAAAAAAUUAAUACUAGGUUUUUGGAAUAAUGGAAGGGGUACAGUAAAAGGUUAUGGUCAUGGUGUUUCGAAGACCACUCUUACAGCUGCAGCUCCUUAUAAAAAGAAAUCUCGUGAAGAGUAUAUGUCUCGCAUGGAGCUUCAACGCCAAGUGGAUAAUAUGGAGCAGCAAAUGGUUGAAGAUAGAAGCGAACGCAGGGAGCUUCAGGAACAACUGAGUGCAUUUCUCGGAACAAAGGCCACUUAUGCAUUUCUUAGCUAGCCCACCUGUUUUUCUUAAGGUAUGAAUUCAUUCUUUUCUGAAAGCUUACACGUGUAUUGUGCUUUAUUUGUAUAGUUACUGUGUUUUACCUGACAUCAUAGAGUGUAUUGUGUUGAUUCGUGGCUUGAGUACAGAUUCUGUAGAGAGAAAUAGGUAAGAGACAGACGCUUUAUAUUAAAACUCAUAAAAGCAAUAAUAUAAAGUGUGUUUCUUAACUAAUAAACAUUAGUUUGAAUUUUAUUUUCUCCUGCAAAAUGAGCCGGAGAGAUAGCUAACGAUGCAAGUCUAACUGCUAAAAAAAUCUGUCAUCGUGUUUCCGUACUUCAAUUUCAUUAUAUAAAUAUUGUAGGGACCAAUGAAUUCAUUGCCUAGACAAUCAUCUAUUUCAGCUCAACAAACAUGCCAGUUGUUAAGUAUUGGAGGAAGAGUUGUUGUGUUUGGAACAAUAACUACAAAUAGCGGGGGCACUACAUAUAAGAUUAUCAUUGAUGAAGUUGCAGAUUGGAGUGCUGAAUUGUUUGGUGUUGUAGGCAAGACAUUCGGAGAAUAUUGAUGUGGGACAUACAGUUGAAUGGCCGAUAAUCCUAACACGUCUAGUUUGAUCUAUUUUCCAAUGUUAUAUCACCACUAUUGAAGUUCCAUUGCAGUAAAGAGAUUUUUUUUUCUGUUAUUGUCAUUACUAUGAAGAAGAAUGGUGAUGGCUUGAUGUCUGAAAGGUGAUGGGUGUUUAUCUUUUUUUUUUUUUUUUUUUUUUUUUUCAGUGCAGCGGAGUAGGAGUGCAAUAUCAGCUCAGGUGCAGCAGUGUCGUGUUCUCAGUUGCAACCAUGCAGUUUUUCAGGGUUCAGCUUAGUUACUAGUUAGGUGGUACUAAGUGAAAUGCACGUCCGUUGGACGAAUCAGGUGGGCAAUUUUUAUUUUUAGCCUUGUGUUUUAUAUACAUUCAGUGAAUGACAAAAAGUUGCAAAAAAAUAUCGAGUUUGCAACCAUGAAAAUUUUAGGGGUGUGUAUUGUGCAGGGGUGGGAAUUAUUGCCGAUUUUUCGAGUUUUCCGUUUUCCGAUCCGAUUUUUUCCGAAUUUGGAAUGGAUUUUUGCAGUUCCGAUUUCUGAUUCUUCCGUUAAAAGGUGGAACGGAACUGGAACUACUUCAUUUUCAUUACUUCUAUGAAUCCGAUUUUAGAUCCGAUUUCCGAUCCGAUUUUUCUGAUUUUCGAUCUGAUUUUCGAUAAAUAUUCAAAAUUUUCUGAUAAUUUAAAGAGAUUUAAUUAAUUAUUCUAGUUUUUGAAAAUAUACGUACAUAUAGACAUAAAAAUGAUAUACUAAAUUCAAAAAUGUGAUUUUUCAUCAUGAGGACUCAAUAAAUAACAAAUUGUAGUUAGUUUCAAAUUUUAAUGUAAUCAAAUAUCAUUAUAUGAUGCAACAAAAAAUUAAUGUAAUAGUAAAUUAUUGGUUAGUUUAUACUUCGUGUUUUUUUUAUCAUGAUAUUAAAAUUUUCUAUAAUAAAUUAUAAACUUGCAAGUUUUGUAUGGAUUGGAAUUAAAUAUCCGUAAGAAGUUGCACUAAAGCUAGCAGAGAGAAAAAAAUUCCAUACCUCGCAGAAAGUGAUUGUAAUGAAGUUAUUGAUGUAGUUAAGCCAAAUAAAAUGGAUCUCUUAGUGUUAGUUAUAAGUUAUAACGUAUAUCAGUAUAUGUAAUUUACUUUGUAGAAUAUUUAAUUAAAAAAAUUAUUAUAUUUGCUAAAGUUGUUAUCUCUAGACCAUUACAAAAUAUUGAUUAUGUUCAUUUAGUAUUGUAGUAAAUUUAUGGUAUUAUAUUUCCAAUAUAAAGAAAAGUAAAUGUAAAUAUAUCACUUAUCUACAUUUAACAUUGAAAUGCAAGAAUACAACCUAUAAAAAAGAUUAAUAUAAAAGAAUAUUAAUAUAAUAUAAUUCAAAUAUUGGGUUUGUUCUAAAUUUUAUUUUUCCCAUUUAUAUUUAGUCAUAUCUUCUCAAAUGAAACAUUUUCCUUCGCUCAACGUGCUAAGAAAAUUAGAAUUUGUUUGCAAAAAAUAAAAAACCUCUAUCUCUAACUAAUUAAAUUUUAAAAUAUUUUACAAUAAUAAUUGGAUUGCAGAGAUCUUACAUAUACACCUAUAGAAUAUGGUUUGUUUCAUUGAAUUAUUACUAAAUGUUAGAGGUCAUUAAUUAUUUGGACAUUAAUUAAGAGUUGAUAGAUUGUUGUACUCAAAUAACCAUGUUGGCUAUCUUUCAAAUAGAAUUCUUAAUUUUAUAAUUUAAUUAUUUCUGAUUUAAUAUAAGUAUAUUUCAUUAGAGAAAAAUAAUACAAACCUCGCACGAAGAAAUAAAAAAUACUAAUAUAGAAUCGUGAGAUGGUUGAGAACUUGAGAUCGAUUUUAGGAAAUGGAGAGAGAGGAGUUGAUGAAGAACCACGGAGAGGUGCUUGAAAGAGAUGGUAAAAAAAAAAAAAGAAGAAGACGCAUGAAGAAUCUAAAUUAAAAAAUGACGGACAAUAAAUAUUUGGAUAUACCCGAUGAAUAAGACUCAUAAAAUCAGUCAAUGAAAAUAAAAACUAAAACUAAUUAAUGUGAUUAAGGAGGUGUUCAUUAUUAAAAUAAAUAAAUAAAUUAAAGGGGUUUUUGACAACAAAAAAUAAAUUUAUUUUUAUUUUUAUAGUGAAAUAAAAGUGUAAAAAUACUACAAAUCAUUGGUUCACAACUCACAAGUCAUUAAGAAAUACAAAUCAUAUUUUGUAAAUAUAAGAAUAAUAAUGGGAGAUCUUAAUCACACUCACACCAUACAAAUCUCUCAUGCACCACAUUUAUUUAGCUUACCACAAAAUUUAUCUGAAAAUGUGGUGUUCGAUAUAUUUGUGUGGUGAUCUCCCAUAAUAACUUAUAAAAUAAUUUCUCAAAAGCUAAAAAAAUGACUUGUAAGUUGUAACUAUUUACAUGUAAGUAAGUAACUAUCAUAUUUGCCAAAUACUAAAGUAAAAUCAUAUCAUAUUAUUAUUUACAUAUUUAGUUAAUUAAUUAUAUUCAUUUAUAUAUUAGUGUGUGGGGGUGGGUUAGUGGGCGUGUGUAGUAAAUAGUAAUUAGUUAGCAGUAACACUUUAACCUAAUUUUAACUAUAAUCCAUCAAUCACUAAUAUUAUCUGAUCUGAGCCGUCAAUAACCUGAUUUCCUUCCCUGUAUUACUGUAUAGAUCAUAGGUGAAAAAAUCGAAAAUGUCGGGCGGAUAUUCACGACAUAUUCCGGUUUUUGGGAAUCCGGAGCGGUACGGCAUACGAAUAAUAAACGAAACAUAAACCUCCCCAUGCCGCUCGGAUUUUUACGAAUAUUCGCGAAAUAUUCGGCAAAAUACGAAAUUUACGAAAUUUUCGAUUCUGAAAUUAACACAUUUAUUUUUAAUUCCCACCAAACUAGAACUUUUCCAAACUAGAACUUUCGAUGAGGUUAUCAAAAAAGGGUCCAAAGAUUAGCAAUAUGAAUAUUUCUUGUUAAUGAAACCUUGGAUUUCUUAAAACUAAACAAACAAAUUGGCACUGGUUGUCUACGUAUGUUUAUCCUCAUUUUUCUUAUGGGAACAUGGGAACCUCCCAAAGUGAUGAUUCCAGUGUACCAUCCUACCAAACCCAACCAAAUUCUAGUGGUUCUUGGUUUCCUAAUAUAAGGAGUUGGUUGGCCCCAAUGACAAGUGGGUCGGACGUGCAGUCAGUCGAUACAUUAAUGCCGGUUCAACAAUACUCGGGAUUUCCUAUCUUUGAAUCAUUUGCUCCGUAUUGUAUGGAUCAAGAUGCAUAUGAUAUGCAUAUUGACCAAUUCAGGUCGUACGAGCAAACAAUGUCAUGGGAAUAUUACUGGACUGAGUUCGUCCCCACACGUAUGCGACUCGAAUCUCAUCGGUUUGACUUGGGGCGUCUAUCAUUCUGGGGUUAGCAUGUCUUUUAUUUUGAUUAUUAAAAUAAAACUAUGGGUUGAGUUGUUAUGAGGUUGUUUGUGUUUAGUUCUUAUAUUAGAAACAAAUAAAAGUUCCGUGAAUAUCCGCCCGAUAUUUACGAUUUUUUCACCUAUGAGUAAAACUAUCUUGUGUAAUAGUUUCGUCUUAGCUUCCUUGUAUGAUUUGUCGCGUGUUUAAUUUGCAAUGUAUGUUUUUCUUUUAAUUAUAAAUUUAUAUAUUGAAACCAGAAGAAAAACGUGACAAUAGCAGAAAACCUCCCAAUUUUUCGAUUUUUUCGCGAAUAUUCGCGAAAUAUUUUGCGAGAACCAUUUUUGCCAAACCUCCCAUAUCCGACAUUUGGGUCCGGAUAUUCGCGGAAUAUUCCGGUUUUUCCAAGGUCGGAUAUUCGGAUAUAUUCGAAAUUUUCACCUAUGGUAUAGAUAGAUAGAUAGAAUAUUUUCAGAUCUGAGCCGUCAGCAACUCUCUCUCCAAAACUCUCUCUAGUCUCUACACUACUAGUAGUCACUAAGCCGUCAAUAGCAUGAAAGUUUUUGCACCAAGUUGGAAUUUAUCAGCAAAACCUUGUGAUUAACAACACCCAUUCUCUCUUCAUCAACCAUUUUAACAACACCCUUACUUUUUUCAUCCAUUUUAGAAAGUGUUUAAAGUGAAUUAAAACUCUUAAAAGGUUAGCAUUUGCUCUUAAUUUCAGUCUAUUUCUUUUAUUUUGUGAUUAAUUUUAGCUUGAUUUAGACGUUUCUUCUUUGUAUUUAAUAUUUAGUUAUGGAAUCUUCUCCUUAUAUGAAUUUGGCACCAACUAGUUCCUUUCCUUUUUUUUCUACUGUGCUAAUGGGUGAUACAUCAUUUUUAUGCAAUUUUGUAGGUCUUAAAUUAGAUGUCUAUAAUGGCUGAAAGUUCUACUCCAAAUACAAGCGAUCUGAGUAUCGAAGUUAGCCAAAAGAAACAAAAAACCACGCCAAAAUCUAGUCUUGGUGGACACCAUGGAAUUUCUGGGGUGUGGGCUCAUUUCGACAAAAUUUUAAUAGAAGGACAAAGAAAUAUGCAGGUAAAGCUAUUUGUAAGUAUUGCAAGCUUUCAAUUGAUGCACCUUCUACUAGUGGCAGAAACAAAUUGUGACACCACCUUAAGAAAUGUAAAGAGUUCCCCGGUUUUGAAGAAGAUAAGUCACAACCUUUGCUUUCUUUUCCGGGAGAACAACCUUCUACUUGGAGGUUUGACUAAGAUAAAUGCUAUAAUGUUCUUAUAAAAAUGAUUAUUAUUGAUGAGCUCCCUUUUAGUCAUGUUGAGAAAGAAGGUUUUAAAAUGUUUUACGAAAGAAAUGCAACCUAAGUUUCAUGUGGUGUCAAGUCGUACUAUUACUUCGGAUUGCAUUAAAAUGUUUCAUGUAGAAAAAAACAAGUUGAAAGAGUAUGUGAAUGGAUUGUCUUCAAGGGUUAGCCUUACAACCGACAUGUGGACCUCAAUCCAAAAUCUUGGGUAUAUGGUUGUAACGGCACACUUUGUAGACAAAGAUUGGUGUCUUAGAAAGAAGAUCAUUAGUUUUAAAGUGCUUCCUCAUCCACACAAGGGUGAACUUAUUGCAAAAGCAUUAGAAAGUUGUUUGUUGGAGUGGAACAUAGAGAAAGUGAUGACUAUUACCCUUGAUAAUGCUCGAAACAAUGACAUAUGUGUUGUAGAUUUAUCAAAAAGAUUGAUAAAAAAAGAUUCUUUGCUAUUGAAUGGUGAGUGUUUCCACGUAAGUUGCUUUGCUCAUAUUAUAAAUCUUGUCGUGAGAGAGGGAAUCGAAGAAGUUAAAGAAAUAGUCAAAUGUCUUCGUCGAAGUGUCAAAUAUGUGAGGAGUGGGCCAUCACGUAUGCAAUUAUUUAAAAAGUGUGCUUUGGAUGAGAAUGUAACUACGAAGAGGGUUGUUUCUUUAGAUAUUAAAACAAGAUGGAAUUCAACCUACCUUAUGAUUAAUGCGGCUUUAGAGUUUGAGCAAAUAUUUAGUAAUUUACAUUAUCAUGAUGGAUGUUACAAGUUUGAUUGUUAUUUGGGAGUGAUGGAUGAUAAUGAUUGGAGCACAUUGAAAGCUUUGCAUAUGUUUUUGGAAGAAUUUUAUGAGCUAACAAAACCUGUCUCCGGUUCGAAGUAUGUCACGUCCAAUGCAUACUUUGAUGAGAUAACACAAGUCAAAGAUCUUAUUCUUGAGCAAUUGAGUAGUGAAAAUAAAUUUUUUGCUACCAUGACAAUGAAAAUGAAUGAAAAGGAUAAAUAUUGUCAAUUUGACUUUUUGAAUCCAAUUCUCGUUGUUGCAAUAAUUUUGGAUCCUCGGUAUAAGUUGAACUAUGUGGAGUUUUGGUAUGCUUCCUACUUGGGGAAGCUUGACACUUUAACCGAUGAAGAAAGAGCUCAAAAAGUGAAUGCUUAUGUUGAGAGAUUGAAGAACUUGAUGGCUCGUCUUUAUUCUCAUUAUAAGGUAGAAUUUGCAUCGAUUAUGAAUAAUAAAUCUUCUAACUCUCAAGAUGAUGGUGUGGCUAAUCCCCAAGCAAAGAAAUGUACUAAUAGUACAAAAGACUUGUUUAAAGGUUUAUUGAAAAGAAAGAAUAGUGGAGAAACAUCAAAUGAUUUGGAUAGGUAUUUGGGUGAUGAUAUUAUAGAGGAUGACACUAACCACUUUGAUAUCUUGGUUUGGUGGCGAGAGAAAGUGUCAACAUAUCAUGCACUUGCAAUGAUGGCACGUGAUAUAUUAUCUAUUCCGGUGACAUCGGUUCCUUCAGAGUGUGCUUUUAGUACCGCCGGUCGAAUCCUUGAUCCAUUUCGAAGCUCUUUGACUCCUACGGUUGUAGAAAACUUGAUAUGCACCCAAGAUUGGCUAAGAAGUCCCAUGCCAACAACUGAUAUUGAAGAGAAACUUGAGGUUCUUGAAGAAAUUGAGAAUGGUAUGUUGUUUGAUCUACUUGUAAACUUUUUUUUUUCCCAUUCAUUUUAUAUACAAAGUUACUUAUAUAUUCAUGUUAUUGUAGUUGUAUUAGAGGAAUUGAGAGGCUUGUCGCUUGGACCCACUCCCACACCCACUAGUUGAAGAACUUUGGGACGAUCUAAGUAAGUUAUUUGGAUUUCAAGUUGUUUUUGUUUUGUUUUUAUCAUGCUACGUACUUUUGCUUUAUGCUGUUGUUGGCUUUUUUUCCUUUUUGAUCAAAAUGUAGACAUUCUACUGAAUAUGAAACAAACCCAAUUACAUCUUACUGAACAGCCUGUAGACAACCCCUUCCAUUGUAAAGUUUUUAAGUAACCUCUCAAUGCUACAUGGUACAAUACUAGUUCUUUUCAGCAUACUAGGAUCCAGGUCUCAACACCAAUAUUUGGAAUCAGAUUUUUUUCGGCCGUUUCAAAUGGGACUAGUGGUACUAGUACUGUUCCAAGUUCUUCGUCGUGGACAACCCAAACUUCUGAAACAUCUCUUUCUGUACCAAUGAGAAGUAUAUUAUUAUUUGAGAUAGAGAGAAGCUAGCAAGUUUAAGAGAAAUAAGUUUAGUGCAGUUGUGUUCUGCGAGUAAUUCUAAGAUUUAUACCAGUAAAAUACUAAAAUGGACUAUUGAAGUAGGUAGAUUAUUUCCUGUAUCUAUAAUGUUUUCAGCAAUUAACAUACCGUAGUGUGAGUAUAUUAUUAUUGUCCAUAUGGAUUACAAAAAUUUCAUAACAAAUUAUGUGAGACUGAGAGUUGAGCAUUGUGUACUGGUACACUAAAGAAGCUGCCAGGAGCCCAGGACCAAAUUCUCUACUGAGCUAGCAGCUUUAAAACCUGAAUGACUAGAUGUAACGAGUUGCGAUUUCUGUUUUAGCGUUUUAAUUUCUUAUGAAACUUCAUAAUAAAGAAAAUAAGUUGUUAAGUAGAAAUUUUAUAUUUUGUUCUUUUUGAAGUUCUGAGCACUUAAUAUGACUCUUAUUUUCACCAAGCUCAUAGUAUUAAUGUCCAGCCUCUCCUCUGAUGACUGAUUAGUUCCUCUUCUACAAGUUACAUAUUAUAAUUUGGGGUUCAUUUGUUUUUCAGGAGCCGUCGGUUAAUUGGGAUCUACGCUAUUUAAGAGGAGGAAUGAAAGAUAUUUUCAGGAUGACUUAGCUAGGGACUGGGCUAGUAUGAUACGAGAGUUGUCAUCUGUCUUGUUCUCAUGACAAUUUGUUUGAGGAACUGCCCCCUAUUAGAAUUUGAAUAUUUGUGUAGAAUUUGAAUAUUUGUGUAUUUUAAGUACCCUCGUAAAUUCAUAAUGAAUUGUGUUUAGAUCUUGAACUGCGGAUUCUUAUUAAGUAUGUUUAUUGGAAUUCCAAUUAAUUCCGAUCUAUUUUUAAGUUGGAAUUCCGAUUUUUUUAUGUUGGAAUUCUGAUUGAUCCAAAUUUAUUUAUUUUUGAUUUUUUCGAUAUUCCGAAUAUUUCCGAUAUUCUGAAAUUUGGAAUAAAUUUUGUUGUUCCGAAAAAAAUUGGAAUGGAUUUGGAAGAAAUUUUUUGAUUUCGAUUUUCGAUUUAUUUUUUUCGAACAUGCCAUUUUCGAUCCGUUCCGUCCGAUUUCCACCCCUAAUAUUGUGUAUGUUAAUCCACUCCUACUUGUAAUAAAUAAAUAAAUAAAAACAUAAACUUAGAUAAUAAAACCUACUACAAUAAAGAAUAAAUAUUUUUAUGUGACCAUUGUAAUUGUUGAACAUAAUAUAAGAGUUUAGAGAAACAAUAUCAUUUCAAAAUUCAGCAUUUAAAAAAAAAAGUAUAGAAUACAAUCCCUUAAAUAAAUUUAAGUUGAAACUAACCUCAAGUAAAUCUUUAGUGAUUAAACAAGAAAUUGUUAAACGCCUCAAUUACUUGUGAGUUUUACUUUCAAUUAUUACAAUAGUUUUAUCAAAAGUUCAAAUUUAAAGUAGAAAGAGAGAGGGGGGGGGGGGGGGGGGAAGAUGAGAGAGAACAGAAGAAAGGGGAUAUAAGUCUCUUCGGUUUUGUUUCUUGAAUUCGAUAGCCACCUAGUUAGUUUUCUGGUUUGUAGGCAACUAAUUUAUAAAGUUUAUCUGCUUAUAAUGAAAUUACUUUGAUAACCCUAAAAAUAAAUAAAAUUAAAGAAGUGAUAUUUGGUUUUUGUUAAAGAGGAGAAGAAAUUUUUGGGUAUGAUUUCGGCAUCAGGAAAAAAACAUUCCUCCCGCGUUAUAGAAGUAGAGAUGAGUCGAUGUAUGUACUAGUGGGUCUUUUGUUUGUGUUUUAUGACCUGACGUUGUGUUGUACAGGUUGAUCAGGAUUGUACCUGGUUUGGAUCUUGGAUUUUAAUGAAAUUUAAUUAUUGUAAAAUAAAAUUAAAUUUGGAAAUAGUUUAUUUCAGGUAGCACGUGAAAAACAUGUGUUUGAAAUGAAUAAUUACUGUCAAAACCACUGUUAAUAACAGUCAUUUAUCAAAUUUGGAGGUUGGACCCAUUAGUACGAAAAUGACGGCUAUUAACAGUCAUUUACGAACAAUUGUUAGUGGCAGUCAUUUAAGAUUUUAAACAACAACGGUUAAAAGCACUCGUUUAUGAAAAACGACUCCGAAAUUAACGACUACCUUAGCAAUUGUCCAUGACAGUCGUAUAUGCUUAAAAAUGACUGUUAUUAACAGUGGUUUAUCUUAUAAUCUGAUGUAAACAAGAAAAAUCCCUUGAGAUCAACAAAAGUCCAUCAGUCCCUUGGACUAUAAACAAGAAAAAUCCCUUAAGAUCAACGAAAGUCCCUCAGUCCCUUGGAUUAUAAACAAGAAAAGUCCGUUGAGAUCAACGAAAGUCCCACAGACCCUUGGACUAUAAACAAGAAAAGUCCCUUAAGAUCAACGAAAAGCCCUUUGGACUAUAAACAAGAAAAGUCCUUUAAGAUCAACGUAAGUAUCUAAGUCCCUCAGUCCCUUGGACUAUAAACAAGAUAAGAAAGUUGGAAGAGAAAAUUCCCUUGGUCUCUAAACAUGCAAAAGUCACUAUAAACAACGAAGGUCUCGCGGUUCCUUGGACUAUAAAUAAGAUGGGAAUGUUGGAAGAGAAAGUCCCUCUAGUCAUUUUAAUAUACUAAUCUUGCAGGUAAUAUUUUCAACAUGAGAAAAAAAAGUUAGCUAUGGAAUAAGGUACAAACACACCAUGCAUGAGGUAAUAUCCUUUUUUUUUUGUUUUUUUCUCAUAUUACUUAUGUUGAGGACAAUGCAAUAUCUUGUUUGGGGGUGUCUGUUUGACUUUCAUUUUAUGUGUUAUUUUGUAUAUUUUUGAAAAUAAAUAAUGUGUGACUGUAUGCUAUGAUGUCCCAUGAAGGUGCACAUUUUAUUCUUGUUUUUAUGAGUGCUUAGGAAGUUUGUUUGGUGACCCUGUUAUUGGAAUGCCAUUUUGCGUUGAUUUGUGUUUUAUAGAUGAAUUCCACAUGAAGAUGUUGGUGGUAAAAACUAAAUAUAUUGGGUGGUGGUUUGAAACUCAUAUAAUUUUGCCUUCUUAUUAUAACGAGAUGAAAAACAUAUCAUAAUGUGAUAUUGUUUAUUCUUUUAAGUUCGUAAUUUAUGUUACGAUUCUGCAAGCUCGAUUUGGAAUUAUAUGAUCAUUUGGGUUUUGGUUGUACUCCAUUCAUUGAGGCUUGAUAAACAAUUUAAAAAUGAGGAUUGGGAGUUGGAUUUUGUUUAAGUGCAAUGCAAAAUCCAACACAUAUGUUCCACAUUUUGUCAUAUUGUUUUAGAUUAGAAUAAACAAAAUAAGUCCCUCAGUCUUUUCUACUAUAAACAAGAUGGGAUGUUGGAAGAAAAAAUCGCCUGGAAUAUACACAAGAAACCUUAAAAUUAACGAAAGUCCCUUAAUGCCUUGGACUAUAAACAAGAUGGGAAUGUGGGAAGAGAAACGUCCAUUGGAAUAUUGAUAAGUCCUCAAAAGUGUAUAUUUAUCCCUCGAAUACCACCUUGUUUGCAUAACACUUAGCUUAAAAAUGAGGAUUAGUUGGAUUUUGUUUAAGUGCAAUGCAAAAUCUAACACAUAUGUUUCACAUUUUCGCAUAUUGUUUUAGAUUAGAAUAAACAACAAAAGUCCCUCAGUCUUUUCUACUAUAAACAAGAUGAGAUGUUGGAAGAAAAAGUCGCCUGAAAUAUACACAAGAAACCUUAAAAUUAAUGAAAGUCCCUUAAUGCCUUGGACUAUAAACAAGAUGAGAAUGUGGGAAGAGAAAAGUCCAUUGGACUCUUGAUAAGUACCCAAAAGUGUAUAUUUAUCCCUCGAAUAACACCUUGUAUGCAUAACACUUAACUUACAUUAUUGUGUUAUAUCUAUUGAUUAGUGCUUUUUUAUCAUUUGUGUAGGUUUCACGAGCCAAAAAAUGAAUAUUGUGUUAAAGCCUGCCAAAAGCCAAGAAAAGCAAUUAAAAGAGUGUUAUUUGCACAAAAGAGAGAAAUUGCUAUUUACACCCAUGCAGUUGCUUAAGGUACCCCUUGGGCUGGUCUUGUGGACUUGACUUUAUGUCCAAGAUGGGUGAUCCAAAUCCCAGCUCAAUCCAAUUUGUAAUGAAUAGGACUGGCAAAAUGACUCGAGACCCGUUAACCCGACAGGCCGACACGAACCCGACCUGAGUUAAACAGGUUUGGGUUUAGCUUUAUCGGGUUUUCAUGACCUGAACCUUUAAACCUGUUUAUUAUAUAGGCCAGAUUUAGGUCUGACCACUAACAGGUCGGAUCAACCCGAAACCCGAUAAAAUACUUUGUUUCUUCCCAUAUUCAAAUCACCUUUUCGUCUCUCUCUAUCUCUUUCCUAAUAUUUCUUCUUCAAUGGUGGCUGAUGUGAGUGUUUUGUUUUAUUCUAUAGGGUUAUUUAGAUGAACAAUGAGUUUUAGUUUUAUUAGUGCAACAACAGUAGAUGAAGGUAGAACAAUAAGUAGUAGUAAUGAAUUGAUUACUAGAUACUUGUUUGGUGGUGGUGGUUCUUUUUUUUUUUCUUCUACAAUCACUGCUACUUCCUAUUCAAGUUCUUAAUUUCUCCAUGGGAAAAACGUUUUGAUUUAAGGGUAUUUUUUUUUAUUAAUUUAAUAAAUUCUUUCAACAAAACCAAUCUUCUUUGCAGAUUCAUUCAAUUCCUAGAAAAAUUCUAAUUUUUAAAUAUUUUGUUUAUAAAGUCAGGGAAAAUUUAUUUGCAGAGAAGUGAUUCACCAACAUCAGAUCAACAAAAAAUGAGAAAACAAGAAAGAAAUCAAAUAAUUCAAGAUUUGAACUUCCUCCCAACUGAUGAUGGUCAAAUUUAGAUCGAAAACUUAUUCCUAUCUUAUGAUUAUGAAAGUGUUUGUACACUUGAUAAAAUGAAAUUAAUGUCAGAAGAAGCGAGAAAGCCAAGAAAUAUCUUUAUUGGUAUCAAUUUAUCAAUCCACAUCGAAAUCAAUACUUGACUGCUUAAUAAAUGGGUUUAAACAGGUCGACCAGAACCCGACCUGUUUAAUUAGCAGGUAGGGUUCGGGUUGGGAAAAUAAAAUUAUACAGGUUAACAGGUCAGGUUCGGGUUAAAGCAAAAAAUGCAUCAACCUGUUAAAACGCGACACGAACCCGACACGACCCAACACGAUUGCCACCCCUAGUAAUGAAGCCCAAGGGUCAAAAGAUGACACGAACCCGACACGACCCAACACGAUUGCCACCCCUAGUAAUGAAGCCCAAGGGUCAAAAGAUCCAUUGAAGCCUGUUACUUGAAACUCAAUUUUAAAAAGGCUCUAUAUAAUGAUCUAGAACUCCGAUUUGGGCCUGUAAGGUGUCUAUCUGAAUGUAUUGAUCCAAGGUACAACUUGGGACCAAAAUAAUUAAGGUUCUAUGUGGUCUUUCUGCUUCUAAAAGCCCUACAGCAGCCACAACGAAUUUUGACCUAACUUAGAGAGCAAGUAUACUUUGUGUGCAAGCAAAGUAAUUUCUUAAUUCACUAGGACUCAUGCUUUGUAUUCUCUAUAUAAAGAUAAGCUAGGGUUUAGAUAGUUCAAGUUCUCUUCUCUCUUGAACUCAAAGUCUUGAACUUGUAUUUUUGAUUCUUCUUCUUAUUCUUAAUAAUAAUCAAUUCUCCUUUCCAUUAUGAUGUUGUCUUCUUUAGAUAGCAAAAAACACUCUAGAUAAUGCAAAAAACACUAUGUUUAUUCUCUUAUGUUCAUUGUGAUUCAAAGUUCUUAAUGCUUGUUUAUUUCAAUCCAUGAUAAGAAGUAGGCAUGAUUAUUUAUGUGUUUAUUGUAUCCAUGUUGUUAAAUGAUAUUGUUAAAGUAUAUGGAGACCUAGCUAUAAUGAUGGUGUUACAUUAAUUGGAGAAGUGACUUUCAUAUAUCUAGAAUUAAUUUUUUUAAUUGGAACACAUUUGUAAUCAAGUUGAAUAGCUGAGAGGUGACAACUUGAAUACAAAUCAAUAUGUUGAAUUAAUUGAAUUGAAUAACUGAGAGGUGACGAUUUAAUUAAUGAGAUAUAUUCAAUAAGCACAUAUAAAGAAUCCUGUUUUAAUCAAAUGGAACAGCUGAGAGUUGAUUAUUCGAUUAUUGUAGGCAUUAGUGAUUAUUUGGAAUAACUGAGAGGUGAUUAAGUAAUUGUUAUAGAUUGAACAUGAUUGAAUAACAUAUAUGUUUUGGAUUAUUUAGUUUGUGGAUACCAACGUGUUUCCACCUAUUCAUCAUAAGAUCUCCUUUCAUCUUCUACUAUUAGUUUAAUUAUUAGUUUAUUUAUUUAAUUGCCUGUAGGAAGUAGAAUCAAUUCAUAUCCUAUUAAUUGAUUCAUUGGUGUUCUUAAGUUAUUGUUUUCUAUGGUGUUUGAGCUAAGAAUUCCCCAUUCGAGUUCGAUACGACCCUUGUUUGUUACUUGUUCUACUUUGAUAAUCAAUAUUUACAGGCAUAAGAAGAAAAAUCUCUCUACAAAUUCAUCUUUUGAUUAGUAGGUACACAAAUAUCCAACUAUCAACUAUAAACAAGUAAAGUGCAUUGAGAUCAAUGAAAGUCCAUCAGUCUCUUGGACUAUAAACAAAUUGGAAUGUGGGAAGAGAAAAUUCCAUUGCACUAUAAGCAAGUAAAGUUCGUUGAGAUCAACGUAAGUCCCUCAGUCCCUCAGUGGACUAUAAACAAGAAACGUCCCUUUAGAUCAACGAAAGUCCCUCAGAUUAUAAACAAGAAAAAUCCUUUAAGAUCAACGAAAAGUCCCAUGGACUAUAAACAAGAAAAGUCAGUUGAGAUGAACGAAAGUCCCUCAGUCCCUUGGAAUAUAAACAAGAAAAGUCCCUUAAGAUCAACUAAAAGUCUUUUGGACUAUAAACAAAAAAUGUCUUUUAAGAUCAACAAAAAUCUCUAAGUCCCUUAGUCCCUACGACUAUAAAUAAGAUGGGAAAGUUGGAAGAGAAAAUUCCCUUGGACUAUUGUGUGUACCCUAGGUAAAAAACCCGACAGGUGUCACCGAUGGCUGUAUAAGAAGCUAAACCGGGAGCACCUGAGCAUUAGCCAGCCAAGCCUGGGCUAUCGGGUAGGGCCCAACCGGGUCUCAAGGAGUCCACAUACGCUCUGUGGACCUUGACCCACCGGAUAGUCCAUGAUCGAUGGGUGGAGCCCCGGUUACUGUAUAAGAAGUUCAACCAUGGGCUCCCAUACAUCAGCCAGGCCCACCUCAGUCAAGUAGGCCAGGUCCGGCCCAGUAAAGUCUAGUAGCGACAAAGGCUUAUCCAAAGGCUUAAUACAGAAGUCUAGAGGACCUGGCCAGGGUGUAUGCAAUGAAGAUUGGGCCUCCGGUCAGAGGAGUCAAGCCCAAGUCUUUGCUUUCAGGCUUGGUCAAUCCAAGUCCCAACCAACUUGAUAAGUCCAGCGAGAUUCCAGGCUAACAGAACCCACGGUUCUAGCCCGCUGGAGAAGAUGAAGGAAGACCCAGGCUGAACCAGGACCUAUCAGAGGAUGCCACGUGGCAGUCAUCCUGGUCAAAGGGAAUUCAAAACAAGGACAUAACCGCUCGGCAGGAUGCAAGCUAUCUCCACUGAAGGCAUCUUCACAGUUGAACUACCUGAGUUCAUGGAGUCAAAAUCGGAGGGGUGGUUGAGCCAGCCUCCUCCGGCAGUACGGCCUACUACAAAUACAAGAGUUCUAAACCUCCUAAACUACGAGUCUUCCACUGAGCAACUCCAUUAGAGCUUAGCGGAAGCAGAGACUUGAUUCCAAGUUCAUCUUCUUGGAUACGUAGGCAGCCUGAUCCCGAUAAGGUCCAGUCUCAUUGUAUACCCCCCAUCUUACCUCUGUCUAUACAAGGCUUUUAUUGUAACUGUUCGAUUAAUCUAUACGUAUCUCGAGUUUGUGGAUCAAAUUUUUGCACCCACACUCUUUGGCGCCCACCAUGGGGCUGAAUCUCCCAUCAGUUCCAGAGCCUUGCAAGGAAUCUAGAUCCAGUCAUACCAGAGUUGCUGCAGCAAUGGCUGGAAGUAAGAGACGCCCAACUCAUUCCAACAAUAGAAUGAGCCAAGUUACUGAAAGUCAGACAGAGAACCUUUCUCAUCUGUCUCCGAUUCUUGAAGCAAGGGAACCUGUGAAUCGGGAAUCAGUUCUCGGGAGUGAAGGCCGCGAUCAGGGCUCGCAACACUCUAAAAGUGGACAGUAGGAGGCAGAGAACUUAGUGGUGCAAAUCCCUAAUGAUCCUGGUAAUCCUAAUACAGUCAACCGGACCGUCAGGAUACCGGCAUCACAAGAUCCAGAACCCUCCAGUGUAGCCGCUGCAAGAAGAGACCAGAGAACAUCUCCCCUGACAACGGGAAGAGUCCCCAACUGCAAUCAUCCAGCGACUAACCAGGGAAAACGCAGAACUAAGGAGAAAGAGGAGAACCAGGGCCGGAGAUAGCCAGUCAUCUACAGCCCCAUCUUCGAGUCCAUCUCCUCAGAAGAAGAUAAGGCCACGGUCGGGUAGUGACCGGAGUCUUACCCCUCUUAGCCAUUAUACCCGUCCAGUUUGGGGCAGGCUAACACCAGGGAGAGAUAGGAUGUCUGCUCCCCAGUUCAGAGACAUCGCCGCGGACGUGCAAGAACACCCGGGCCACGUCAUGGCCGCAGGGUUACCCGCAGCAGGUUUGUAGAAGAAGUCACUCGACCAGAAGGACAACACCGGAGGAGGCACCAGAGCACUCCCCGGCACGCCACUGUCAGAGGGGAAGGAGUCCCCAGAGGGCCCGCACCCAUCAAAGAUAACCGGAGCUGAGUGUGGAACAGAUGAAUCAACUCAAGCUACAAGAGAUGAUCGACCUGGCUGUUUCCAACAAAGCUAACCAGGAUGAACGAACCAGGAAGCUUACUCUCUCAAGGCUAGCUGUGUCACCAUUGGCAGAAGAAGUCAGGAGUCAUAUAGUCCCGGGCAGCUUCAAGCAGCCGCCCUUCGAACAGUAUGACGAGGCAAGUGGUUGUUCGGUUCAACAUGUUAUGAACUACAAAAACACCAUGGCCAUCUGGGACCAUGAUGACAAGCUACUUGCGAAAAUGUUUGCUGCUUCACUCAAAGGCGAAGAGCAGAGGUGGUAUCACAAUCUGCCACCCACAUCCAUCCACACAUUCGUACAACUGGCUGAGUUGUUCGAAGAAUAGUACCGGUUUAAUGUGAAGACUAAGAAGGGAGCUGAAGUUUUAUUCUCCCUGUAGAUGAACCGGAGCGAAACACUCAGGAAUUUCGCCCGAAGGUUCCGAACCCUACUAUCUGAGGUACAGGACGCAUCUGAUAGCGUUGUCAUUCAAGCUUUUAAGUACGCCCUGAACAACAACCAUGAAGAAUUGUACCGAUCACUGGCGAGAAAGCCUCCCUCCUCAGUUUCGGCCUUGCUCGAGAAAGUAGAAAGGUAUGCUCAGGAGGAGGAUGACCUGAAAGCCAGAAGAAAGAGACUUGCCAGAGGCUAAACCUCCGAGAAGUCGCAGAAGGCAAAGGAAGAAAGCUCCGGUAGGGAUCACAGAGAGGAAAAAGCCCCUUACAGAAACAAAGACAGGAAGGGGAAAAUGCCAACCCGACAAUCAGACCGCCGGUCAGAGAAGUCUACCGGGAGCGAACGCAAAGAGAGGGAAUUCACACCCUUGAGGUUCCCGAUCGAGUGCUGCUCAACAAGCCUGCCCCUCUUCCGACAGACCCGAAGGGCAGGAGAGAUAAGUCCAAGAAGUGUGAUCAUCACAAUGAUUACGGUCACGAGCUAAAGAAUUGCAGGUUAUUGAAGUACGAAAUGCAACGUCUGGUCGAUGUCGGCCUCAUCCUUGACAUGGAACACACUGGAGCAGUCGAACAGGUAAAAACCGGAGAUCGAAUUGUAUAUGUCUGCCAUGUACAGACACUCGGUUCUUCCAAGACAGGGAGGAAGAAUUGUGCCCGGGAAAUAGGGGUGCAAUUCGAGCCAAAAGAGCUGAGCUAAGGUAUGCUCGAACUCGGCUCGCGAGCCAACUUCAAAACUCGAACUCGGCUCGUUUCGGCUCAUUUGGCUCGUUUAAGCUCGUUUGGCUCGUCUGGCUUGUUAAUACUGAUUCACUGAUCUGAUCAAACGGGUUUUGUAAUUGUUGAGAAAGUGAGAGGGAAAUCAACAGUAAUUGACUAAUAGGUACAUCAAUUAUCACAAUCCCCAUUUCCUUUUUUUUUAUCAAGUUUGAUGCACUUUCAGUGUCAUAGCAUUCUUUGAUUGUACUUGGAAAUUAGUUUGAAGUUCAAGAUUACCUGUUGUUUGUAAUUUGUUGAAUGAGAUCUGAGAUUAAAAGUUGAAGAUGUUUGUUUGUUGAACGAGAUCUGAGAUUAAUGGAAGAGAGAAGAUGAAGAGAGAAGAGAGAAGAUGCUGUAUUGCUGCUUGCUCUAAUGCUCUAUUGUGUUGGACGGACCACAGACAGAUAUAUUUUAAGCCCAUCAGUCAUUCAGCCCAUAAGACCAUAAGUCCAUUAUAGAUAAGGCCGAGGUAAUAUAGUAAUUGACUAAUAGUUAACGAGCUACUCGGCUAGGCUCGGGCUCGUGACGAGCUCAAAAAUCUGCUCGAACUCAGGUCGUUUAGAUAAAUUAGCGAGCCGAGCCGAGCUUUUAUCGAGCCGAGCCCGAGCCGCUCGGCUUAGAUUGCAGCCCUACCAGGAAAAGCUCCGGUGGAUAGGGCAUGUCCAUGAGGUUGGACAACUAAACUUCAACGAAGGGACGAACACUGAGUCCAUUGUCCCCAGAGGUUUGACAUUCACCGAGAAGACGAAAGGGGCGUACAUUAUCCACAAAAUGACGGCCUGGUCAUCACAGCAUGGAUUGGAGUCUACCGGGUCCGGCGAGUCAUGGUCGACGUCGGUAGCACCUCCAGCAUCAUGUUCUCAUGUGCUUACAAGGCUAUGGAGCAAUCUAAGGGUCUCAUCGAAUCUGAUGAGAUUCGUAUCUAUGGGUUCCACGGGGAGCCAUCACAGUCCUUCGGGCGGGUCCACCUGCCAAUCACGGUAGGGUUCAACACCGUCGGGAUAGACUUCUUGCUGGUCGACUCCCCCUCCUGCUACAACGUCAUCUUGGGAAGGGACUGGAUUCAUCAGAUGAAGGGCAUAGUGUCCACCUUCCACAAAAGCCUCAAAUUUCCAACUCCCAACGGAAUUUGCAAAGUCAAGGGAGACCAAGGGACAACAUUAAAGUGAUAUCUCGAUGCUGUCAAGGGGAAGUCCAUUUCCGAAACGAAGGGGACUACUAUCUUCUUGACAGACUCUCAUCAAUAGCAACCAGCUCUCGGCAAGUCUGUCAAGGGGAAGCCAAACACAAAAACCGGGAUAUCACCAGCGGUCGACGAGCUGGAAGAAGUUAUAGUGGGAUUGGAGUCCCACAAGACAACUUACAUCUCCUCCGACCUACCAAGGGCUGAGAAGGAUCUCAUGAUCACUCUGCUCCGGAAGAAUCACCACGUCUUUGCAUGGAGUGUCAGCGAGAUGCCGGGAAUUGACUCUUCGGUCGCCUGUCAUAAGCUAGACAUUGAUCCUCAGUACAAGCCGGUCAAGCAGAAACCAAGGCGAAUGGCGCCAGAUCGAAAGCUGGCGGUCAACGAAGAAGUCGAUCGACUACUUCCAGUCAACUUCAUCAAACCAGUCAUCUACCCUACCUGGGUUUCCAACAUCGUGGCUGUCACAAAGAAGAACGGUAAGAUUCGAGUUUGCAUUGAUUUUACUAAUCUUAAUAAAGCAUGUCCUGUGCACCCAUAUCCACUCCCCAGGAUCACAGACAUGGUGGACGCCACCGCUGGCUAUCAAAGAUUGUCCUUCAUGGACGCCUACUCUGGAUACAACCAGAUUCCACUUCACGAAGAAGAUCAGGAACAUACCGCAUUCAUCACCAAUCGAGGGCUCUACUGCUACCGGGUGAUACCAUUUAGUCGGAGGAAUGCCGGAGGAACAUACCAGAAGCUCGUCAACACCAUCUUCAACGAGCUCAUAGGCCGGACCAUGGAACUCUACAUACACGACAUGGUGGUCAAAACCAAGGAGAAAGACAAUCAUUUGCGAGAUCUACAACAUACAUUCGAUAUCCUGACAAGGUACAAUAUGGAGCUGAAUCCAGCCAAAUGUUCUUUCGAUCUUUCUUCUGGCAAGUUCCUUGGCUUCCUCAUGACCAACCGGGGCAUAGAAGCCAAUCCAGAUCAGAUCCGGACAGUCUUGGAGAUGCCCGCCCCGAAGACAGUAAAAUAAUUCCAGAGGUUAACCGGGAGGUUAGCCGCUCUCAACAGAUUCAUCUCCCGGUACUCAAACCGAUGCAAGCCAUACUUCAACGCAAUCAAAGCUAAUGCGGAAUGGAAUCCUACUUAUCAGCAAGACUUCGAUGAAAUCUAGGCAUAUCUCACUCAACCUCCGGUCCUUACAACACCACAAACCGGGCAGCCAGUCGACAUCUAUCUGGCCGCGUCUGACAUUACAAUUAGUGCGGUUAUAUUUGUGGAAGAACUGGAGGAGAAACCAGUUUACUUCAUCAGCAAAGUGUUGCAGGGAGCUGAGACAAGGUAUUCAAAAAUCGAAAAGAUUGCCUUAGCCCUGGUACAUGUAGCCAGGAGGCUAAAGCCAUAUUUCCAAGGGAGCGCGGUUAAAGUCUACACAGAGUUUCCGCUCAGAAAAGCUCUUGGAAAGCAGGAAGAAUCUAAUCGACUGAUCGAAUGGUCCAGCUACCUCAGUGCAUACCACAUCCGGUAUGAACCCAGAACCGCGGAGAAAGGGCACUCAAAGCCUCCUUGAUGCCAGACUUUCCCAUUGAGGAUAUCCUGGUUAACCCAGAUUUAGAAGAAGAUGCACUGGGGGCGAACGAUUCCCCCCGGUCACAGGAGUCUCCGGCCAAAGAAGAGAUCGAAGCAUGGACAAUCUACACUGACGGGUCCAGUAACUGUACAGGAUCCGACAUUGGUUGUCUCCUAAUCAGCCCAGAUGGACAGAAGACAGAAAAAUCUGUCAGACUGGGAUCCCCAGCUUCAAACAACGAAGCUGAGUACAAAACUCUAAUAUAUAUAGUCUCCAGACAACACUCCAACUGGGGGGGUGGAGAGUCAUGGUCAAGACAGAUUCAAAGAUAGUAGCGAACCAGUUCGCCGGAUCCUUCCAAGCCAAGGACGACCGGAUGGCAAAGUAUCUCGAUGUCGUCCACUCCAUGGUAGGGAAGUUUGAAUUCAUCACGAUCGAGCAGCGACCAAGGAUAGACGUCAGGCACGCAGAUGCCCUGGCGUAUCUUUCUUCUUCUAUCAACACUACGGAGCCCCGACAGCUAUCAAUCAGAUACCAGAAAGAGCCGAGUAUCGGGCCCAAAGAUCCAGACAUGCCGCUACCGGAAGUCUAUCUCUUGGAGUACAGGCAUUGGAAUGAAGUUCUCAUGGUGACCACCAGAGGACAGAAGAGAAAAAGAGAUGAAGAAGCUUCACAACCCGACAACGAGUCCAGCACACAGGACAAGCCGAGUCAUCCAUCUCAAGGUCAGACGCAUGACCCCCCAGAAUCACAACUUGAAGACUGGAAUCCUUGCCUCACCAGAGGCCGGAUAGAAGCGAUGCCACCUUCAACGGAACCGGAUGAACCAGACCCGUCCGAACCACCGCUCUCGCAUGUCCACAUCGAUUUGGAGCUCCCACCAGAGGAACCAACUGAGGACUUUCCAGACAACCUGAAUUCUAAAGUAGACAGAAUUGACGCCGAGUUGUAGUCCAGCAAUGGUCAAGGCUGGAGGAAGCCAUACAUCAACUUCUUUAUCCACCAUUUGCUUCCCGAAGAUCCAAAGCUGUCAGCCAAAAUCAAGAGGGAUGCAUGGAAAUUCACUGUCAUACCGCACCGGGAGUCACACAGGCUGUACAUGAAGAGCCAUGGCUCCGGGGUCUUGUUCAGGUGCCUCACUCAAAAAACAAGGCCUGAUCAUACUAAAGGAAAUCCAUGUUGGGAUCAGCGACAACCACUCCGGUAGCAAAAAUCUAGCACAUAAGACAAUGAUCCAAGGAUACUAGUGGCCACACAUUAUGGGGGACGCGAAGAAAUUCACACAGGCAUGCCUCCCCUGUCAGUAGCAUGCCCCGGUCGGUCAUGCCCCGACAAAUGAGCGACAUCCCAUCCUGAGUGCAUGGCGCUUUGCCAAGUGGGGAUUGGAUAUUGUGCGACCGCUUCCAGAUGCUCCACAAUCAGUCAGAUUCCUAUUGGUCGCUACAGAUUAUUUCACCAAAUGGGUCGAAGCAGUAACAUUGGUACAGGCAUGUUCCUCCGACGUCAGAAGAUUUUUGUGGAAAGACAUAAUCUGUAAAUUCCGGAUCCCUCAAGAGCUAUAGUCAGAUAAUGGAAAAUAGUUCGACUGCGACAACAUCUGGCAGUUCCGGAAGUCCUUGGGGAUCAAACACAACUUCUCAGCCCCAUACUAUCCUCAGGGGAAUGGGCAGGCAGAAGCAUCCAACCCGGUCAUCUUGGAUCGACUGGUUAAAGCAAAAAGCAACUGGGUAAUGCCACUCCCGAGGGUCUUAUGGGCAUACCGGACCACCACAAGGAGGUCCACCGGUAUGACACCCUUUAAACUUACAUUUGGAGCAGAAGCGGUAAUGCCAACAGAACUGCUAGCUCCCACAACCCGCACUGAUGCAAUCCUUACCGGGGAGAAUGAAGGGAUUCUGGCAAGAGAAAAAGUUGUUCUUGACGACAAGAGAGAGUAGGCCCUACAACACCUCCUCCGGUACCAGGAAACCAUCUAAAGGGGAUAUGACAAGCGAGUCGUAAAGAAGAAAUUCAAUCCGGGCGACUGGGUCGUGAGGAAAGUCAAAGUCAUGACUGAGGAUACAACCGCCGGAAAGCUUGGAGAAAACUAGAAAGACCUUACAUCAUAGACAGACAUGCUGCGAAAGGCUCAUACUUCCUUAGAACUCUGUCCGGCAACCUCUUUUCAAGGCCAUGGAAUGCUUUCCACCUCAAGAAAUUCUACAAGUAAUGUACUCCAUUUGAUGAUUUCAAUAAAGAUUCUUUCCCGCAAGAAUUAAAGUACUUUGUAUUACUUAUUGCUGAAAAUCCUAGUGCAAGAUCAAGUCUCCAAUGAGGUCUAGGAUGCCCGGACCUAACUUCCAAUCCUGGCUAAGUCCUAAAUGCAGAGUUAUGCUCCUUUUAGUCCCAAGACGUCCGGACCUAGCUUCCGAUUUUGGAAAUCAAAGAUGUCAGGGAUCAAAUUCCAUCCAACCCAAGGUGCCCGGACCUAGCUUCUGAUCCAGGCUAAGUCUUAAAUGCAGAGUUAUGCUUCUUUUAGGCCCAAGACGCCCGGACCUAGCUUUCGGUCUUGGAAAUCAAGGAUGUCAGGAAUCAAACCCCAUCCAACCUAGGGUGCCCGGACCUAGCUUCCGAUCCUGGCUAAGUCCUAAAUGCAGAGUUAUGCUCCUUUUAGGCCCAAGACGCCCGGACCUAGCUUUCGGUCUUGGAAAUGAGAGAUGUCAGGGAUCAAAACCCCAUCCAACCCAGGGUGCCUGGACCUAGCUUCCGAUCCUGGCUAAGUCUUAAAUGCAGAGUUACGCUCCUUUUAGGCCCACGCCUGGACCUAGCUUCCGAUUUUGGAAACCGGUUUUAAGCAUCAAACCAUGGAUCCCCAUGAAGUUAGCGAGAAAAAGAACUGUUAUCGUCCCAAGGAAAACUCCUUAGAACGAUAAGGGGGCGAGGGAGAUAGACAAUUGUAUUAAAUGUUGUAAACAAGGUAAAGAUAUCUAACAAGGUAUUUUUUGCAUAACAAAAAUUUUAUUUCUUUUUCAGAAAAAAGAUGUACAAGAGGAAAUCCCCCGGCAACCGGGACAAGAACCUAUCUACAAAAAUAUAACGGAGUUAAGGCCGCGAAGAAGGUUCGGGGCCAUCACCGCCCUUCUUCGCCUUUUCCUUCUCCUGCUGGUAGACGCCGGUCUAGUUCCAGCUUCUCUCGGGUUAGCUUCUCGCAGGUGGCCUCCAGCUCCGCCAAGGAAGUCUUGGUAUCCUCCUCCCUCUGAAGAGCAGCGGUCAGGGUGAAGUCCAGAUUGUGAUAGUCCGCCGCCAUGAACCGUUUGUCCUCCUCCAGAGGCCACUGGUCACUGUUGGCCGCUGCCAGGUCUUUCUCGAGCUGACGUUCUCAGCACGUAGGCGCUCUAGAUCCUCCAAGGCAGAAGACGAAGGUCUGACACUCAGCUCAAAGACCCGGGCCAUGGCAGCCUGUUUUUGACAGGCAAGAGAAACAGAAGUCGGAAAACAUACAGACAUCAACAAGUCUAAAGCCAGAAUUCAAGGCAGGGAACCUUACCGCAAUCAGAUUCGGGGCAGCCACCCUCAUCGCCCGGUCGCGAGAAAGGCGACUGUAGUAUGUCGGGUCCUCCGGAAGCAGGUUCUGGAAGAUGUAAUCGAAGGCAGUGUGGAUGUUCAUAAUGUCGGAGUCCCCAAUCGACAUCGGCUCCCCAUUCAGAAAUGCAGGAUGAAUGGUGAACGCCGGCAGUGGGAUCUCUGGAGUAGCCUCAGGCUGGUAUUCGCCCGGUUCAGGGCCCAGUUGCACGGUUGGGCCAGUGGGCAGGUCAGUAUACGGGCCCUGGUCACCCCACCCAUAAACCGGGGCUUCAUGAUCAGCAGUGCCCGACACGGUAAACUCCACCUCAGUCUGGACGUCCUCGACAGCCAGAACAUCUUCAACAGGGACCCAAGAGCCAUACGAAUAGUCCCCGUCACCGGUCCCCUCAGCGCUCGAGGGAUGGCAUCCUCCCUUCUCAGGAGCAUAGCCUCCCCCUGGUCAGCAGGGGAGGCAGAAGCAGCUCUCUUCGAGCCCCGGGCAGACUCAUCUACUACAGCCUUGCCCCUCGAAUCAACCGGGGCAGGAGACUGUACAGAAACAACUUCAACAUCAGAAGGCUGGGAAGCUCUUACCUCCACUGAAGCCUCAACUCCAGCAUCUCCAACAAUGGGGGCGUCCACUUCAUCCAGCGGACCCCCCGGAACCACAGCUGGCUCACCUCCAUCAGCGGCAGAGGCGACCACCGUCUCCUCGGACACACCUCCCACUAUCUCCGGCUGGGCCAGGUUAUCCACCUCAGCAUGUACCUGCACCGGGGUAGGAAAGAAUCCCUCAGUAGCUGAUUCGUUGGACCCACGGGAAAACAGAACUCGGCUAUCCCUCGACAUCAGGCUAGGAUCACCGGAGGAGUCAGAUGAGCCAUAAAAAACAUGUGGCCUCCUCCGGCGAUCCAAGGGAGGGUUCGAAUGACAAACAGAGCUAGCAUCACUGACCUGGACAUCCCUGACAACUGGGAUGACUUCCGACAGAACGUCCGGCAUUGGAUCAUCAGGAGAAGAUCUUCCCCCGACUGGAAGAGCGUCGUCGGGCCAAUCGUCCAUCUCCCCCCGCAGAUCAACAGCCUCACUCUCAACCAGAGGCUCCUCCUCGGCAUUGGGGACUAUGCUCUCCACAGUAGCAGCACCCUCACCAAAACUGGAUUCUACCUUCACGACUUGCGGAGGGGCCGGCAGGGUUACAAGCCUGGCCGGGAAGCGGAUGUGCAUCACAAUCUGGUCAGGAAGUGUCAGGUCUCGCAGGUCUGCGGGCAGACUGAAAAAGUGCUCAAUGUUUUCUUCAGCAGCAGAGGAAUCCAACCCCGCUGGCAGAGACACCUGAAGCUGACGUUUCCCUGCAAGCACAAGCAUGGAACUGUUGCUGAGCCGGAGCUCAGCAAGCACGCAGAACAUAAAGGCACAAAUAAAAGAAAGGUUAGGCGCAUGCUUACCUAUGAAGUCCCACGACAUCUGUAUGUUGCGGUCAGACGACCACCCUGACUCCCAGUAGCAAGGUUCGAACCAAUCCCAUAGUGAUUGGGAAGCCUAGAGAACCUCCGGGAAGUACGCCAAGAAAUGGCGUAGAAGCAGCGUUCCUUGGACUCCCGGGCUACCGGUUUCAUGAGCGUGAACAUUUCGACCAGUGCCAAAGGGAAUCUCAAAGUGGAGGGCGAUCAACCCGAUCCGACGCACAAUUAUCCAGAAGGACACAUGCAUCUGACCCGGCGGGAACCCCCACCACGACAACAGUCUCAGAAUAGAAGAAUGCAACGGGAGCUGCAUGCCAUACAGAAGUUGGUAAAGACUUACUGCAAUGAGGUUGCGGGAGCACAAGUCUGAAAUGUAGGGUUGAGAGCCAAACCGAACCCCUCUCCAGCCAAGCUGCUCUUGAACUUCCGCCACGCUCCUCCUUGGCCUCUUAACUGAAGGCUCAACAAUAUUUAGAGGUGCCACUGCUGCCACAUCAGUAGGCGUGGGAGGCCCAGUCACCGGAAUGCCACUUGGUUCGCCCUCAUCAAUAGAGGGACGGGGAGCCAAAUUCUGAGGCUCUUCGUCACUACUUGAGCUCAGAACUAAAGUUCUCCUCAUCGUUGGGGUAAAAUGUUCGCGAAAUCACCGGAAUUUGGAGUUUUAGAACCUAGGGUUCCGACAAAAUGAAAUGAAGCUGAAGAAGAGAAAGAAGAGAGAGAGAGAGAGAGAGAGAGAGAGAGAGAGAGAGAGAGAGAGAGAGAGAGAGCAAGAUACCUUUCUCUCCUCUGAACUUUUCUUUUAUAAGCAGAAUCUAGGGUCCACCGGCUGAUGGUAUUCCGAAUAUCAUAAUGGACUCUCCAGUAAGAUCAUUAAACCAACUGGUUUAAAUGACUCGAUCAGCGAAGAGUCACAAGCUUUCACUGGAAGUUGAAGCUGUACAUCUUCCCACCAACGAAGGAAGAUUUUAGAGAAGACAAAGUGGGGCCCACUUAACACAGUCAGCUGAGGCCCACACUGCGCAGUCAUUUGGAACCCACAUCAGUUGGGGCCCACAUCAUGCACUUAGCUAAGAUCCGCUCAGCAUGUUCAGGUGGGAUCUACAUUGUCCAGGUCAGCGACAUGUGGACCUCCGGUCCAUGUCAUCACGGUCAAGGGAGAUUGACCGGCAUGUGUUCCUGCACUCAUCAUGAUGAGAAAGUAACUGGACCUAUCUACCGGAGCUCAAGAUAGUAAUAAAAAAGGAAUUGUUUUAUUACAAAGUGCAUUAUACAGGGUGCACCAAAUCCACUACAUAGUGCGACCGAAGCUAGAUUACAUCAAAGGGUAGACGGAGUGUUCAGACCGGACCCCUCAGGCGAGUCGGGGAGAUGGUACUUGGCUUUAGCUUCAGCGUAUCCUUCCUUCCAUGAAGAGACCGCAACAGCAUCAAUCUUGCCCCCCAUCCGGGCGAGCUCAGCAGAAGCAGAUUUCAGCCUUUUUUUGAGGCCUCGGAUUUCCUCAUCAUUAUCUCUGAUUCGGCCCUCAUGGCGCUCCUCCCACCGGCGUUGGUCUUCCACAAGCUCGGCCACUUGCACCUUCAAGUUGUUCACACUGCUAAGGAGGUGCGCUCGGUACUAUUCCCGAUUGUCACCAACGGAACUAGAAUGAGAAUGCCUAGCCACCAUGGAAGAUGAGCAAGGGAAGGAGAGAGAGAGAGAGAGAGAGAGAGAGAGAGAGAGAGAGAGAGAGAGAGAGAGAGAGAGAGAGAGAGAGAGAGAGAGAGAGAGAGAGAGAGAGAGAGAGAGAGAGAGAGAGAGAGAGAGGUAUAACUCAGCAAGAGUGAACACCUCCCUAUUUAACCCCGCAAAGGUUAAAAAGGUCUGGCCAUAGCCCAAUCGCUUUCCGAGAAGCAACGGUCUCCCAUGGACCGACAGUCAACCUGCCAAAAUCAAGAUAAGACGAGACAAACAGAGGCAUUGUUCAUAGGAAAAUGAAUUUUUAUUGAUGAACAAAAAUCAAAUAAAGAGCGCACCGAUCCUCAACAAAGGUGCGACAUUAACUAGUCUGCCAAAACAUUCCGCGAGGCGGUAGGAGGGGAAGCUGCGACCUGGUCCCAGCUAGCACCCUCGGCCGCAGCAUUGCCAAGUAUCCAGACCUUCUCUUUCAAGUUCUGAAUUUGUUCUUCGGCCUGUUUAAGCAAACCUUUAGAAAGCCGGAGAUCUCGGCGCACAGAUGCAAUAAUGUCAUCUCGCUUCUUGAGAGACAGCUUCAUGUCAUGCUCCAAUCGGACAACCUUCUCCAGGUUCUUCUCUUGGGCCUGCACAUGGUUGAACACGUGCUCCACUUUAAGGUUGAAUGCACGGUGAGCUAAGUCAGCAACUCGAUCGUCAACCAUUUUCCAGUAGAAGCUUCAGCAGCAGCAACAACAACAGAAACCGCGGAAAGAGAAGUGAAUAUCCUUUUACACCUCCGGUUUGCUAUUUAUGACCCACCGGAUGGUCGAUGAUCGAUGGGUGGAGCCUCAGUUACUGUAUAAGAAGUUGAACCGUGGGCUCUCAUACAUCAGCCAGGCCCACCUCACUCAAGUAGGCCAGGUCCGACCCAGUAAAGUCCAGCAGCGACAGAGGCUCAUCCAAAGGCUUAAUACAGAAGUCCAGAGGACCUGACCAGGGUGUAUGCAAUGAAGAUUGGGCCUCCGGUCAGAGGAGUCAAGCCCAAGUAUUUGCUUUUAGGCUUGGUCAAUCCAAGUCCCAACCAACUGGAUAAGUCCAGCGAGAUUCCAGGCUAACAGAACCCACGGUUCUAGCCCACUGGAGAAGAUGAAGGAUGACCCAGGUUGAACCAGGACCUAUCAGAGGAUGCCACAUGGCACUCAUCCUGGUCAAAGGGAAUUCAAAACAAGGACAUAACCGCUCGGUAGCAUCCACGCUAUCUCCACGGAAGGCAUCUUCACAGUUGAACUACCUGAGUUCAUGGAGUUAAAACCGGAGGGGUGGUCUAGUCAGCCUCCUCCGGCCUACUAUAAAUACUAAACCUCCUGAACUACGAGUCUUCCACUGAGCAACUCUAUUAGAGCUUAGCGGAAGCAGAGACUUGAUUCCAAGUUCAUCUUCUUGGAUACGUAGGCAGCCUGAUCCCGAUAAGGUCCAGUCUCAUUGUAUACCCCCCAUCUUACCUCUGUCUUUACAAGGCUUUUAUUGUAACUGUUUGAUUAAUCUAUACGUAUCUCGAGUUUGUGGAUCAAAUUUUUGCACCCACAACUAUAAACUUGAGAAGUCUCUAAAUAUCAACAAAAGUCCCUUAGUUACUAUAAACAACGAAGAUCCCUUAGUCCCUUGGACUAUAAACAAGAUGGAAUGUUGGAAAAGAAAAUCCCUCUAGUCGUUUUUAUAUACUAACCUUGCAGGUAAUAUUUCCAACAUCAGGAAUAAGGUUAGCUAUGGAAUAAAGUACAAACACACCAUACAUGAGGUAAUAUCCUACUUUUUUGUUUUUCUCAUAUAACUUACCUUGAGAACAAUGCAAUAUCUUGUUUGGGGGUAUCUGUUUGACUUUCAUUUACAUGUGUUGCUUUGUAUGUUUUCAAAUAUAAAUAAUGUGUGAUUGUAUGCUAUGAUGUCCCAUGAAGUUGAACAUUUUAUUCUUGUUCCUAUGAGUGCUUAGGAAGUUUGUUUGGUGACCCUGUUAUUGGAAUGCCAUUAUGCGUUGAUUUGUAUUUUAUAGAUGAAGUCCACAUAGAGAUGUUGGUGAUCUGAAUUUACUAAUCUCGACAAAAUCACAAUCAUAAAAGGCAAUUUAAAUCUGGACCUAAUCAAAAAUCUGAUUCAACUACUUAAAAAUAAUUUUAGAUCACUAUCCAAUCUCGGUAGGCAUCCAACGGUUGAAAAUAACUAACCAAACUAUAUUGAAGAAAAAUCAAACGACACCUUACUGUUGUAAUCAGUCGUGAAAACAUAGUUGCCAAGCAAACCUUUCAGAAGUGCUAGCUUUAACUGUUCAUCAGCUACUACAUUCUUUUUAACCAAAAAUAUCAACAAUCAUUUGGAUUAAAUUACAGUAGUAAAAAAGAAAAGAACAAAAUUGCAACGACGAGUUUCUCAUUUGAUGGAUUCAUAAACCCCCAUGUGCUAAUGGAACAUGUCUACAGUCAUUGUGUUUUUUUGUUUUGAUUGGCAAGCGGGCUUGAGGGGACACUGUGGAAACUUAUAUCAGCAAUCAAUUACUGUUGAUGUAUUUUGAACCCACAACCUCUCCACUUUGUGGGAGGGGUGCUUGGUGGUGGGGAUGUGGGUAAUUGAGCCUUAAGAUUCGUCCCAUAAUUUACUCUUCGAUCUAGCAAAAAAAAAAAAAAGAAAAGUCAACAACCAUGGCCUGCAAGAUUCGUGUUUAAGAACUAUUAGUCUUUCGGCCUUGAGUAAGCAUGUUCUUCUUCCAUCCAUCCAUCUAUCCAUCUAUCUUUCUUCUAACUUUAGUUAUGAGAGCAUCAAAGUAUCCAGACUUUGCUCUAUCUUGGAAUAUAGGCACACCUAGAAAGGGCAGGAAAUCAGGUCGGAUUUAUCCGAAUAUCAGAUCGACCGAAAUCCGAAUACAGGGGAUAUGGUUCAAAACAUUUAUCGAAUUUGAAUUCGGAUACAGAUCGGAUACGGAUAACAUUCAGAUAUAUACUUUUAUACAAAUAAUAUACCAUUUUUACAGAGCUAAUAUGGUUAUCAAAUUAUAUAUAAAAACAAAAACCUAAUAAUUCAAAUUUUUUAUUUAUAAAAUCCGGAUAUAUACAAAAAAUAAUUAUUAUAAUUUCUCAUAUUUAGUUUUUAGUUACAGAAAAUCAAACGGAAAAUAGAUUCGGAUAUUGGAUCCAAAUGAAAAACGGAUUAUCGAAUCUGGAUACGAAAAAUCAAAUACGGAUACGGUACAAAAAAUUCAGUCCGAGUCAGAUACGGAAACGGAUAUACCGAAAAACAAUUCAGAUAUGGAUUACUACAUAUCCGCUCUGGUUCCUGCCCUAACCUAGAUGAACCAUUUGAGAGUCUUUGUGUUUAAAUCCUUUGGAAUGUUGUAACAUAAGGAUUCUACCAACGGGUGUUUUUUUAUCCAUCAUAAAAGUAUGGGUUAUUUUGUAUUUAGUCCCUCUAGAAGAUGGGUAAAUAGUGUUUGUGAUAAGACCUCAAAAGUGUAUAUUUAUCCCCCGAAUAACACCUUGUUUGUAUAACACUUAGCUUACAUUAUUGUGUAAUAUCUAUUGAUUAAUGCUUUCUUGUCAUUUGUGCAGGUUUUAUAAGCCAAAAGUUGAAUAUUGUGUUAAAGCCCGCUAAAAGCCAAGAAAAACCAUUAAAAGAGUGUUAUUUGCACAAAUGAGAGAAAUUACUAUUUGUGCUCACAUAUUGCUGAGGGUACCUCUUGGACUGGUCCUGUGGACUUGACUUUAUGUCCAAGAUGGGUGGUCCAAAUCCAAGAUCAAUCCAAGUUGUAAUGAAACCCCACAGGUCAAAAGAUCCAUUGAAGCAUGUUACUUGAAGCCCAAUUUUUAAAAAGGCUCUAUAUGAUGAUCUAGAACUCCGAUUUGGGCCCGUAAGCUGUCUAUCUGAAGGUUUCCGGCAAGUUACAACCCAUUACUAGCCCUGUCUGAAGCAAAGUUAUAACCCAUUACUGUCUUUUGUAGAUCUAAGCUGAUAUGGUAGGAUGUGGCGAGUAAGUGAGAAGGUGCCAAGGUGAAAAGCCCGACAUCUCAAGCAAGGCUAAUUUUUCCAUUAUUUGAGACUAAGUUCAUUUCAUUACACCAGUUCGUUCUUAUUAAUAUAUGUGAGAUGAUUGUCUGUCUUCGUUUCUCACAUAGAGGUAAAAUGAUAAACACCAUCUCUGAGCGACUUUUAUUUCUGAGUGUAUGACUGUGAGGCAGAAGUCAAGACGACCUUUCCAAUGGUGACUUAAGACCCGUGGUAGCAUGGGUACAUGCCUGUCUUCAAUGCAUUUGAAAUCGUUAUGCUUGGUUUAUAUUUCAUAUUUUAUUCAUGCAUUUAUAGUAUGUUAUCUCAUAUGAACGGUUUUGCAAUACUUAUCCUUAUCCUUGAUAUGACCAUUUCUGAGGCAAAUGGUAGAAAUUCCUAUUCUUUGGAUUAGUCAUUGUAGUAAGUUUGUGGGUAAGUUCUCUGGAAAACCCUCAGGAGACUAUAACUCCUCCACUUGGAAAAUCCUUGUGGUUGAAAGCCUUAAUGUAUAUGGUUAAUGCAAUCUCCUUAGUUUUACUUCUCUUUUGAGUCCUUAAUUCUUUUCUUCUCACCUUUGCUUGAGGACAAGCAAAGUGCUGUUUGGGGGUAUCACCUUGUUUAUCUAGCACUUAGCUUAUAUUAUUGUAUUAUAUCUAUUGAUUAGUGCUUUCUUGUCUAUUGUGUAUGUUUUAUGAGCCGAAAUGCGAAUAUUGUGUUAAAGCCCGCCAAAAGUCAAGAAAAUCAAGGAAAAAAAUGGUAUUUGCACAAGAGAGAGAAUUGAUAUUUGGACCCACAUAUCUACUGAGGUCACCCCAUGGUCAGACCAGUUGACUUGACUUUAUGUCAAAGUGGGGCGGUCCAAAUCUCAGCCCAAACCGGGUCCUAUUGGAGCCCACAAGUCAGAAUUUCUAUUUAGGGCUUUAUUUAAAGUCCAAACUUAAAAAUGCUACAAGGAGAUCCAAAAGUCUGAUUUGGUCCCAUGAGCUAUCAAACUGAAGGUCUUGGUCCAAGCUGCAACUUAAGUCCAAGAGAAUUAGGUUUGACUGAAGACCUAAUGCCUCUAGAAGACCAACAGCAGAAGCCACGAAUUUGACUUAAUUUAGAAGUCUUUGCAUGCAAGUAUUCUACUUUGAAUUUUCUAUAUAAGAGAAGUAGUACCUUGAGAAACUACAAAUAGUGCUAAUCUAACAGUUCAAUAUUCAAACAACUUAAACGAUAUGCAGAAAGUAAAUAACACACAGAAAUUUUUAACGUGGUAAAACCCAAUAUGGGAAACGUCCACGGUUGUCCUCUCGACAACAAAUAAUCCACUAGAUGAAAAGAGAUGUACAAACCUAUCAACUACCUGCACUCACUGCGAGUUGAUACUCCUGGUUAUCUCUAACACCUUGACUUCACCAGAGCACCUUGAUGAACACACAAGGAUACUCGACUUCUUGAUGAACACACAAGAUGACUCGAAGCUAAAUCAAUAUAAACAAUAAUGAAGAAGAAGAUGAAUGGGGAAGAAGAAGAUGAGUUCAAUCACCAAAACCACCUAAACCAAAACCUAAACAAACUCCAAGAAACAAGAGGUGAAUUGGACGGCCAAAGAACUGACUUGUUCUUUGGAAGAGAAACCCUAUUUAUAGGGUUGGAAACCAAAGAAAAUGGGCCGAAUUAGUGAAAACCCAUAUUGGACGUACGUACGUCGAUAUGACGUUCGUACGUCUCCAAACGAAAAUAAGCCUGCUGCCUACUUGGACGUACGAACGUCCUGUAAAGGUACGUACGUCCAGAACACAAACUUCCCUGCUGACUACAUGGACGUACGAACGUCCUUACAAGGUACGUACGUCCACACCACAAAUUAUCUUGCUGACAUACCAUACGUACGUACGUCCUUAAGCAGUACGUACGUCCUGAACCAAACACCAAACUUGAGACACACGACGCGAAGACAAGGACAUGGGACGACGCGCGUACAAUCAGGUUUUCUUAACAAUGAACUCAAGGCGAAAUAACCAAGGACACUUUGUCACAAAAUUGAUGUCAAACCACUUCGUGCCGGUUUCAAUCUCCCCCUUUGACAUUGAUUUUGUGACAAAAACCUAUGACUCUAAUAGCACUUAUAAAACGUGCUUACAAACCCAAACCAUGGCAUUUAUAAAACAUGCCUACAAAAUCACUCAAGGUAGAAUACAUACCGAGUCACCAACACAUGAUAUCCAGCUUGAGUAAGACGCUUUAACCAUCAGAGACCGAACGGAAGCAACAAGAAUUUCUGAAACAAUCAUAGAGCCAACGAACAAGAAAUUCUGAAACAAUCAAAGAGCCAACGGAAGUUCCUCGAACAACUCCCCCAUACUUCAUGAGCUCCAAGGUUUAAUACUCGAGCUUACCCAAAACUGUACAUGCAUUUUGUGAUCAUCAUCACUUUCACUCCCCCAUACAUGUAGUAUACCUGAAACAUGACCCAAAACUAUACAACCUCUAAACAUCAACACGUUCACUCCCCCAUACGUGUAGCAUACCUGAAACAUGACCCAAAAAUACACUAACAAAGAAGAAGAAGGUGUUAGUAUUAGAGUCAUAAAUCUCCCCCUUUUUGUCACAAAUGAAGCAAGUUAACAAAAGAAAGAGAAAAGAAAAAAUACCAAACCAUAACAAAUAAGAUUAAAGAAGAAAAGAAAGAGAACAAUCAUGUUAACAACAAAAAGGAUAUGCAACGGAAGCCAUAACAUAAACACCUGUUAACACGAUGUCAAUACAAAGAAUUCUCCCCCUAAACAAAAUCUUCACCUAAAUGCAAUGCAUAUGAGAAAGAUGCACCUAGAACAAACAAACCAAAUAAGGAUAUUUGAAACACACAAAGAACCAAGCAUACAAGGGUAGAAAAGAGUAAAGAGAAAACCAUACCAUAGAUCUGGAAUCCAUGACACACAAAACUAAAAAACAUGAGAGAGAUCUAGGCAUAUAAAUGAAGAAGAAAGAGCACCAACACAGACACAAGAAGGAAGAUUAGAUAAGAACCAAAACGAGAUAAGAAGGAGAUAGUGAAAAGACACUGAAUACUUAUAUAGGUAACAGAGGGAAGAAAAGAAAACAUAACAUGAAUCCCUGAUAGAAACCAAGAGAAACCUAUACAUAGAAGAAAGAGUCAGGACACCAACAAUCGGAACAAAUGAUUCACUAGAAUAUCACUUUAAACAACCGACCAUAACCACCUGAGAUAGAUUCCAGAGAAACGACUCCAUAGUAGCAAGUUAUCUAGAGAAAAAGAUCAAACAAACAAAAAGGAAGAAAUACCAUACGUGAUGAAAUUGGGAAGGUACAAUAAUGACCAAGAACCAAAUAGUCAAACCUGUGAGAAAUGUGCAAGAAAAGAAUAUGCGAAAAGAGAAAGAAGAAGAGAUAAACAAUAGUUAGUAGGAGAUAUGAAAGAGAAUAGGGAAACCAUGCAUAUUAGACACAUCCAACAAUAUCCCAUGACAAAACUACAGGAAUAUGAGUAUCUGCAAGAAGAGAUACGUAAAGUAUAAGAAAAUCCAUUGAGAAUCCAUGGGGAAAUCCAAUCUGUACAUGUUCCUGAAACAACUCAUCCAACCACAAAAAAGAAUUAGAGAAUCUUAUAAACAAGGAGAAGAAAAUAUUAUCCCAAACACAACGGAAUAGAGACAUAAAAGGAAUAAACCUGUAAGCCCACCCCUAGUGAAACCCAAAAAUUAGUUUAACAUAUGCCAAACAAGAUAAGCAAUCAUCAAGCUCAUAAAAAAAAUGCUUUAACUGAAGAAUGAGCAAGGAUUAUCGAUGUCACCAAGUCACAAAACAACAAUCCAACUUCAGAGCAAAUUUCCUGCCUGCCAGAACACUAAGACUCCGAUGACAUGGCAUACAUUGUCAGAAGGAUUAGAGAGUCAAUAGAAGAGAAUUGCUAACAAUAGAUGACCAAACUGAGCAUAUGCAUCCCAAAGUAGAACAGUGGUAGCCCAGAACCAUUGCAUGAGGAUUAUUGCAGAAGACUACCAAGAACACAUCUAAUCAAACCUAUUGCAGGAAAAAAUAGGAUCAACCAGGCACAAGAAGCAACAAUAAGAGGAUAGGCAAGUCUCAUAAGCAUUUAAUCAAACACCAGCUAGCCAACAAGGUAAUUCAAGAAUAUUAGCCCAACAUAGAAAAGUAUGAUGAGAACCUAUGAGAAAACAUGAAUCAAUAUAAAUCAUGACAACCGAAUACACCAAUAACAUGAUUUCAUCACCAAAAUAUGCUUAUGCAUACCUUGUAGUCUUCUUAAAACAAAUUGAGAACUAUUACCUUGAGAAAUCACAUCAAACACAUGUGAUCCAAUGACAAAAAUAGAAAGCAUGAAGUGUAAAACCAAAUAAUACUAACAAUCUGACCUUAGUAUGUCAAUGAAACACCGACUGAAAAGAAUUACCAAGGAAUGGAACCAAAAUAGAGUAAGCCAUAAACACUUUCAGCAAGAACAUCUGCCUGUAAAGUUACUGAGAGAAAAAUAAAGUUGACGACACGCACAUUGUCCAUGAACAAGAAUCCGAAGGAAUGGCGCCUCUACUCCUUUGAGCACGAGGAGGACGUGUGCCCGACGACGAAGCACCCUUGGAACUGGGUGUUUCUUUGGUGGGAGUAGUCCGAGCUCGCUUAGGAGGCAUGUCCUGCACACACACAACAUUAUAAACACCACACAAGUAAGUAAAACCAACAAAACAACCAAGAAAAACCUUAGGAAACUCCAUUCAGGCAUUUCACCAAACACUUGGUGAGCAAUACAGAACAUAUAGGCAAAAACACUACAUGAGCAUACCAAAAUGAUACUAAACAUGUCCAAGAAACUCCACAACCAUUAAUAAUCACAAGAAGUUCCAAAAUUAUUUAGACAACAAGUAUAUAUCCAAUGGUAUGAACCCAACAUGAUCAUGGUAAACAAACUCUUAAUCCAAAGCAUAACAGACAAAUAAUAAUGUAGCAUCAAGAUAAAAUGAAAAACCUUGCUGCCUGAACAUGCGUACGAACGUUAUAACACCGUUCGUACGUUCCCCCCCCCAAAAAAAACAUCUGCCUCCACAAACAUUCGAACGUGCUAAUAACGUUCGUACUCCCUUUUUGUUUUUGUUUUUUUUUUUUUUAAACAAUAGAGAACUAACCUUAAUAACAGAAAAACAAACCGAAUAACUAACAACACAAUCCAUAAUAAGAAGAUAAAAGGAAAAGAACCGAUGUACCAUAAAAGUGAAGAGGAAUACAUCAUGAACUUCCAAAACAGUAGCCAAUCCCAAUUCGUACAAAAAUAAGAGGCAAUAUAUGGGGAUAAACAAAAGAUUGAACAAAUAAGAGAAUUGAAGUGCAUCAUAAACUAAACCUCGGUGUGUGUAGAUGCAAUGCAAUGCAUAAAGAGAGAGAAAGUUCACCACUAGAACACACCCUUUGAAGACCUAGAAUAUAGAACCAUCAACAAGAGACAUACGAUUAGAUUAGUAAGUGAGCAUAGAAGAAACAAACUUCAACCCCCUUUGAAACAAACGUUAUGAGUAGAAGGCAAACGAAUAUAAAUAUAAUCUUUCAAGUGAAAACCAAGACAUUAAAAAGGCAAAAGAAUAUAAACUUUGUAUGCCUUACAUAAAAAAAUGAAUAUGCGGUUGGAUUUUUAUUUUGCCGCAUGUGGUGGAGUUUAGUCUACAUCACUUUAAUGUCAUUCCCGCGUGGGAGGGAUUUUUGCCUCCAUCUUUUCAAAUACACGAGGGUAGGGUGUAGCCUACAUCUUUUUGACAAACACAAACUCAAGAAGUGCAAUACCAUGAUAACGUGCAACACAAGAACUAACAUCUCUUGAGUGAUUAAUGAAACGGGGUAGGGGACCCCAGUAACAACCUCGCUUGCCAACCAAAAAAAAAAAAAAAAAAAAAAAAAAAAAAAAACCUUCUUGAGUGCAUCCGUCAGAGCAUGACCCUCACAACCCCAACGGGUUCUUAGCCAACUGAUAUUGCUUCAAAGACAAUCAAAUGGCUGGGGAUAAAGUGAGUCAUUGACCACUAACAAGAGUUAUAAUAGGAAGAUAAGAAUGUUCAAUAACACUAACAACAAGAUGAACAUUAACCAAAACAAAGGAGAGAUAGCUCAAGAUCACAUAAAUACUCGAGAGAUAGAGAAGUUCUAUGAGCUCAAAGAAUAUGUAAGUGGUUUCCAAAAACUCCCAUUAUGCAAGCAUGCCAUGCACUGUGCAAACAAGCGAGGAAAAAUGCAUGAUACAUACCAAAACAUACUUAAGAGUUCAGAAAGAGAAAACACCCAAACAUAUUGCAACUUAUUUAAGACAAUUGAAUUAAGCCAAUAUCUCAGAAAAGAUGUAACCAACAACACAUACAUGGAAUAAAUAAAGAAAAAUAGAAGGAAUAACCAACAAUGUAUUCAGACAUGCAACAUGAUCUGCAAGCUAAACAAACAAAGCAUAAAAAGUAGAAACACCAAACAAAUAGCCUAUGUGGUUAGAGAAAUAUGCAAUUCAAAUAACACAAGGCUAGAAACAACCUACAUCAUCCCAAAUAUGGGACACCACCAGACCUUUGCAAGUCCAGAAAAACCUUCAACUUAUCCUUUCUUACCCAUACUUGUUUAACACUAGGCGUGCACACCUUGGAAGUUGAAAAGAUAUGAGAUUUCUCCUUAACAAAUUUUUCAAUAGACUUGUCCUUAACUAAUUCCACCUUAGUCUUUGACUUCCUUUUGUUGGAAUACCUGUUUUUCUUAAACCUGUGACGAACACCACUAUAAUUCCAAGGUCUAGAAAAUGCACAAGAAGAAACAUUAGAAUCAACAUGAUUAUAAUGAUUAGGAACACGAGAAUAGGAUGCAUCAUGUUGAUUAAAAUCCCAACAAAAAAUAUCCAAAUGACCAACCCUACCACAAUAAGAACAAUGAAAAACAUUAGACUUACUCAAAGAAUUCUUAUAAGAAGAUGUGGUAGUGGUGGAUAAACCAUGUAUGUCACUAUUUGGUUUAUGACAUUGUCCCUUAACAAAACCCAUACCUCCCCUAUUAGAACAAGAUGGCUUACCAGCAAAAGCAACCUUAUCAUUAGCCUUAGACUUAAACUUUGUGCAAGAAACAUGCUGAAGACUAUUAGUAUUAAGUCUAGUCUCAAUAGGCGGGGUAGGUAAAAGAGCAGGCAAACUAGAUUUUACAGAAGUAGUCACACUAGAUGAACGAGUAGAACUAGCAAUAGGAGAGUCAAAUCUAGUUUUGUCCAAAACCUGCAAUUGGAGUUGAGUAGACAUUAAACCGUUCUUUGUUACCUCAUACUCCACCAAUAGAGAUUUGUAUUUCUCAUCGACCUCCUGAUUGGCCUUCUCUAAAGCUGCAAUUCUACAUAACAAGUCAAGUUUUUCUUUGUCAAAUAAUUGAGAAAUAGAAAUUGCAUCAUCUGCAGCACAAGAAAUUUGUUUUUCAAGAAUCUCAAUUUUAUCCUGCAAAGAAAGAUUAGCCUUUUCCAAAUUUUUAAUUUUGGAUUCAUAAACUUCCCCUUGAAGCAUAUAGUCUUCUGCACAAUGUCUGAGUCGUUGUUCUAGAGAAUCAUCCUUAGUCUGCAAAACACCAUUAUCUUCAAAACAAACAUUAUCAGAAAUAGUAGACACAUUACAAUUAGCUUUUUUAAAUUUUUCCUGCAAAUCAAUAUUAGCUUUUUGUAAUCUUUCACAUUCUUUUGCAGAAAGUCUGUAAAGAAGAGCCCAAUCACUAUUGCUAACAACAUACAAAUUAUCAUCCUUUUCAAAAUCAGAUUUUGGUUUUGUAGAUUUAGACGAUUUAGCAAUAAAAUUAUUAUAACCAGACUCAUGAACCAUUAUUGCACUCAUAGGAUCGUUAGCGUGAGCCUUGACGCUCCUUAACCAGCCCCCAGCGACUGAUACCAAUUGAGAAACUACAAAUAGUGCUAAUCUAACAGUUCAAUAUUCAAACAACUUAAACGAUAUGCAGAAAGUAAAUAACACACAGAAAUUUUUAACGUGGUAAAACCCAAUAUGGGAAACGUCCACGGUUGUCCUCUCGACAACAAAUAAUCCACUAGAUGAAAAGAGAUGUACAAACCUAUCAACUACCUGCACUCACUGCGAGUUGAUACUCCUGGUUAUCUCUAACACCUUGACUUCACCAGAGCACCUUGAUGUACGCACAAGACACUCGACUUCUUGAUGAACACACAAGAAGACUCGAAGCCGAUCUAUGUAACAAGCUUACACCAGAGUUCCUUGAUGAACACACAAGGAUACUUGACUUCUUGAUGAACACACAAGAAGACUCGAAGCUAAAUCAAUAUAAACAAUAAUGAAGAAGAAGAUGAAUGGGGAAGAAGAAGAUGAGUUCAAUCACCAAAACCACCUAAACCAAAACCUAAACAAACUCCAAGAAACAAGAGGUGAAUUGGACGGCCAAAGAACUGACUUGUUCUUUGGAAGAGAAACCCUAUUUAUACUUAGGGUUGGAAACCAAAGAAAAUGGGCCGAAUUAGUGAAAACCCAUAUUGGACGUACGUACGUCGAUAUGACGUUCGUACGUCUCCAAACGAAAAUAAGCCUGCUGCCUACUUGGACGUACGAACGUCCUGUAAAGGUACGUACGUCCAGAACACAAACUUCCCUGCUGACUACAUGGACGUACGAACGUCCUUACAAGGUACGUACGUCCAGACCACAAAUUAUCUUGCUGACAUACCAUACGUACGUACGUCCUUAAGCAGUACGUACGUCCUGAACCAAACACCAAACUUGAGACACACGACGCGAAGACAAGGACAUGGGACGACGCGCGUACAAUCAGGUUUUCUUAACAAUGAACUCAAGGCGAAAUAACCAAGGACACUUUGUCACAAAAUUGAUGUCAAACCACUUCGUGCCGGUUUCAUACCUAACGUUUAGGUAGCUUUUAUGAAUUGAAGAUUGAAGAGAAAGUUCAUCUUCUUCUUCUUUUUUUGUAUCAAACUCAAUAUCAAUAUCAAUUCCAUUAUCUUUUCCAUUAUGAUGUCUUGUGAUUUAUUUAUUUAUUCCAUUGUGUCAUCAUCAAGGAUGAGUAGCUAAAUCUCCUAAGGGGAAUGGUUGAAGCACUCUAGAUGAUGCAAAAGCACCAUGUUUGUUCUUAUUGUUCAUUGUGAUUCAAAAUUCUUAAUGCUUAUUUACUUCUAAUUCGCGAUAUGAGGUAAGUAUGAUUGUUAUCCAUGUUGUUUAAAAUACUAUUGUUAGGGUUUAGGGAGACCUAACUUUAAUGGUUUUAUUUAUAUUGAUUAAAGAUGUGUAGUGAAAUAGCUGAGAGGUGAUUAUUACAUAUCUGCAGUUGAUAUCUUUUAUUGGAACCCUUUUAUAAUUAAGUCAAAUAGCUGAGAGGUGAUGAUUUAGUUAUGAAUAAUAUGUUGAGUUAAUUAAAUUGAAUAGCUGGGAGGUGACGGUUUGAUUAAUAAGACAUAUUCAAUAGCAUGCAUAAGAGAAUCCCGUUUUAAUUGAGUGGAAUAGCUGAGAGGUGACUACUUGAUUAUUAUAGGUAUUAAUGAUUAGUCGGAAUAACCGAGAGGUGACUAAUUAAUUGUUAUAGAUUGAACAUGAAGGAACAACAUAUUAUGUUUGCAUGAUUUAUUUUGUGGAUACCAAUUCUUCCCUCUUUGUCAUCAUUAAUCUUCUUUACAUCUCUACCAUAUUCUUAAGUUAGGGUUUAUUUAAUUAUUGUCUGUAGGAAGUUAGAAUCAAUCUCAAAACUUGUUUGUUGAUUCCCUUAGUGUUUCUUAACCAUUGUUUUUUAUUGUAUUUGAGCUAAGAUCUCCCAGAAUUCGGCUCCCCGUCCUGCUGCUGAUGAGGGCGGACCAAGAGGUAUUCCGACAACUGGGCCUCCUUCGCCUGCUGGUGUGGCGGAGGUGGCUCCUUUAGAAUAUGUUGAGCCUUCGUCGGAAAUGCCCAGGAGGAGGUGGCAAACUUCCUCUAACCUCCCCCGGAAUCCUGAGCUCGAGCGGAUGAGCGCGGCGUAGGUCCAGGAGCAGUUUAGUUGGAGGGGGGUUCGAUUUGGCUCACCCCUCCAUUUCUGAUGGUUGCUCUGGCAACUUGAUCGCGGUAAGUCUUUAUCAGCUCCUGUACGAUAUGCAACUCCCACUGCAUUCUUCUAUUCUGAGACUGUUGUCGUGAUGGGGGAUCCCGCCGGGUCAGAUGCACGUGUCCUUCUGGAUAAUUGUGCGUCGGAUCGGGCUUAUCGCCCUCCACUUUGAGAUUCCCUUUGGCCCGGUCGAGAUGUUCAUGGUCAUGAAGCCGGUCGCUCGAGAGGCCAAGGAACGUUGCUUCUACGCCAUUUCUUGGUGUACUGCCCGGAGCCUGUCUGGGCUUCCCAAUCACUAUGGGAAUUGUUUUGAACCCUGCUACCGGGUGUCAGGGUGGUCAUCUGACCACAACAUACAGGUGUCGCGGGACUUCAUAGGUAAGCAUGCGCCUAACCUUUCUUUCAUUUUUGCCCUUAUGUUUUGCGUGCUUGCUGAGCUGGGGCUCAGAAACAUUUCCAUGCUUGUGCUUGCAGGGAAACAUCAGCUUCAGGUGUCUCUGCCAGCGGGGGUGGAUUCCUCUGCGGCUGAAGGGAACAUUGAACGCUUCUUCAGUCUACUCGCAGACCUACGGGACCUGACACUUCCUGACCAGAUUAUGAUGCACAUCCGCCUCCCGGCCCGGCUUGCAGCCCUAUGGCCCUUCCGUAAGUCGUGGAGGUGGAAUCCAGCUCUAGUGAGGGUGUUGCCACUGUAGAGAGCACAAUGCCCAGUGUUGAGGAGGAGCCUCCGGUCGAGAGUGAGGUUGUUGAUUUGCGGGGGGAGAUGGACGACUGGCCCGAUGAGGCUCUUCUAGUCGAGGGAAGAUCUCCUCCUGAUGAGCCAAUGUCGGAUGUUCUGUCGAAAAUCUCCGGUUGUCGGGGAUGUCCAGGUCAGUGAUGCUAGCUCCGUUUGUCAUUCAAACCCUCCCUUGGGACGCCGGAAGAGGCCACAUGUUUUUAUGGCUCAUCUGACUCCUCCGGUGAUCCAAGCCUGAUGUCGAGGGAUAGCGGACUAUCGCUUUCCCGUGGGUCUAGAGAAUCAGCUACUGAGGGAUUCUUUUCUACCCCGGUGCAGGUACAUGCUGAGGUGGACAACCUGGCCCAGCAGGAGAUGGUGGGAGGUGUGUCCGAGGAUGCUGGAUGAAGUGGACUCCCACAGUGUUGGAGAUGCUGGAGUUGAGGCUCCGGUGGAGGUAAGACCUUCCCAACCUCUUGUUGUUGAAGUUGUUUCUGUGCAGUCUCCUGCCCUGGUUGAUCCGAGGGGCAAGGAUGUCGUUGAUGAGUCUGCCCGGGGCUGGAAGAGAGUUGCUUCUGCCUCUCCUGCUGACCAGGGGGAGGCUGUACGCCCGAGAAGGGAUGAUGUCAUCCCUCAGGCGCUGAGGGGACCGGUGACGGGGACUACUCGGAUUGGUAGUGGCUCCUGGGUCCCUGUUGAGGAUGCUCUAGUCGUUGAGGACGUCCAGACUGAGGUGGAGUUCACUAUGUCGGGCACUGCUGAUGACUAAGCCCCGGUUUAUGGGUGGGGUGACCAGGUCCCAUACAGUGACCUGCACACUGGCCCAACUGUGCAACUGGGCCCUGAACCGGGCGAGUACCAGCCUGAGGCUACUUUGGAGUUUCCACUGCCGUCGUUCACCAUUCAUCCUGCAUUUCUGAAUGGGGAAUGAUAAGUUCUCAAAAGUGUAUAUUUAUCCCCCGAAUAACACCUUGUUUGUCUAGAACUUAGCUUAUAUUAUUGUUUUAUAUCUAUUGAUUAGUGCUUUCUUGUCUAUUGUGUAGGUUUUAUGAGCCGAAAUGCGAAUAUUGUAAAGCCCGCAAAAAGAAAAGAAAAUCAAGCAAAAAGUUGUUAUUUGCACAAGAGUAGGAGAAUUGAUAUUUGCACCCACAAAUCUACUGAGGACACCCCAUGGUCAGACCAGUUGAUUUGACUAUAUGUCAAAGUGGGGCGGUCCAAAUCUCAGUCCAAACCGGGUCCUAUUGGAGCCCACAAGUUAGAAUUUCUAUUUACGGUUUUAUUUAAAGUCCAAACUUAAAAAGGCUUUACAAGGAGAUCCAGAAGUCUGAUUUGGGCCCAUGAGCUAUCAAACUGAAGGUUUUGGUCCAAGCUACAUCUUAAGCCCAGGAGAAUUAGGUUUUGUUAAAGAGCUAAUGCCUCUAUGCCUCUAGAAGACCAACAGCAGCAGCCACGAAUUUGACCUAAUUUGGAAGUUUUUGUUUGCAAGUAUUCUACUUUGUAUUUUCUAUAUAAGAGAAGUAGUAGCUAAGGUUUAGGUAGUUUUUGUAUAGAGAGAGGAAAGUGAAUAUUUGUAAAAGAAAGUUCAUCUUCUUCUUCUUUGUAUCAAACUCAAUUCCUAUCAAUCAAAUCACUUUACUUUAUGAUGUUUUGUUAUUUAUUUAUUUAUUCCAUGGUGUCAUCAUCAAGGUUGAGUAGCUAAAUCUCCUUAAGGGGAUGGUUGAAUCACUCUUGAUGAUGCAAAAGCACCAUGUUUGUUCUUAUUGUUCAUUGUGAUUCAAAGUUCUUAAUGCUUAUUUACUUCUAAUUCGCGAUAUGAGGUAAGUAUGAUUAUUUGCAUGUUAUUGUUAUCCAUGAUGUUAAAAUACUAUUGUUAGGGUUUAGGGAGACCUAGCUUUAAUGGUUUUAUUUAUAUUGAUUAAAGAUGUGUAGUGAAAUAGCUAAGAGGUGAUUAUUACAUAUCUGUAGUUGAUAUCUUUUAUUGGAACCCUUUUGUAAUUAAGUCAAAUAGCUGAGAGGUGAUGAUUUAGUUAUGAAUAAUAUGUUGAGUUAAUUAAAUUGAAUAGCUGAGAGGUGACGGUUUGAUUAUUAAGAUAUAUUCAAUAGCAUGCAUAAGAAAAUCUCGUUUUAAUUGAGUGGAAUAGCUGAGAGGUGACUAAUUGAUUAUUAUAGGUAUUAAUGAUUAGUCGGAAUAACUGAGAGGUGACUAAUUAAUUGUUAUAGAUUGAACAUGAAGGAACAACAUGUUAUGUUUGCAUGAUUUAUUUUGUGGAUACCAAUUCUUCCCUCUUUGUCAUCAUUAAUCUUCUUUACAUCUCUACCAUAUUCUUAAGUUAGGGUUUAUUUAAUUAUUGCCUGUAGGAAGUUAGAAUCAAUCUCAAAAUUUGUUUGUUGAUUCCCUUGGUGUUUCUUAACCAUUGUUUUCUAUUGUGUUUGAGCUAAGAUCUCGCCCUCUGAAGUGGGUACGACCCUUGCUUGUUACUUGUCUACUUUGAUAUCCAAUUUAUAAAGGCACAAGAAGGAACAUCAAUAAAAAUAUAAACUUUUGAUCGAGGUUAGAGAUUAACACUUUUUGGCCUCUAUCAAAAUAACGAUGUUGCCGCUCUAAGGAACGGAGUUCAUUCAAACACAAGCGAGAAUAGUAGUUUCGGGACAUCAUCCCACUUCUAUCCCUCCCACCCUUCUAUUUUUAUUUCUUUUUUUUUUAUUGUUUUUAAGUGUCUUGUUACUUAGUCCUCUUAUUGAUCUUGUAGCAAAGAUGGAUUGAAAAAAGCUCGAAAAAUGGAGUCAAAAUCAAAUCUUUAGAAAAAUCACAUAUUCAGGAUUUUUUCCUGAAAAGUUACUUGUUCAACUUGGACCCGAUCUCGAGUCGAGUUCAGAUUGGCCUAUAACCAUUUCGAGUCGAGUUCCAGGCAUUGAAUUUGCCUCGUUUUGCGUGAUUUUUCCAGGACGUUCCAGAGCUGCUUUUUAAUUAAUAUUUUUUUCCUGUUGAGUGAAUGUGUGGUGAACUAAGUAGUCUAUUUUUUUCAUCAUUUUUAGAGACUCGUAAGAUAUUUAAUUAUUCGAUCCACGAAGGGGUCGCGGUUGUAAUAUUUUUAAAGUAGGUGUUGUUAGGAUUUAUUUUAUUCUGUGUUCGUGGCGGAUAGUAGAGUAAGGUUGUGGAGCUAGCCUUGACUCUACUAUGGAACAACUCCUAAGGAUGAUUGAAACCCAAGGAGCGGUUUCCCCUUAGUCGACUUCAACUCGUCUUCUCCCCACUUUUGUGCGCUUGUUUGACAUUUUUUUACAUUUUAGUACAAAGUGGGAGGUAAGCAUUCUCUUAACCCUCCUCGAAUCCCCUACAAGAGGAGUUUCUGUAUUGAUUAGCAUGACCUUGAUUGUUGCUUGAUUUCAAUUCUGUUUUUUCAACUUAGAACGCCCCGAGUUAAGUAAUGGAGUAGCUAGUCUCUUAGGUGUAUCGUUUUCCAUUGGGAAACAUGUGUGUUUCGUCCACUUAUACGUUAGGAACAAAAAUCGAGUACAUACUAAGCCGAAUGUCUGGACAAAACACCGUUCCCAUGGUCCAAAUUUUCUAUAUUGGCCUUAAAAUGUUCCGGAUAAGCCUUGUCGAUCUUGAGGUUUUAGAUUCCAAAACAAGUGAGUUUUGUCCAUUUCCAAGUUCGAACCGAAAACCGAGUAAAUGCCGACCGAACUGACAAACAUAAAUCUGGUUUUUAUGCCUACUUGUCCGAAGAAAAUCCACCCAGCUGAACUUUUGCUCGAGCCAUAUUGCCCGAUGUGCGGGGGAGCACCCCCACCGCCCGAGGAACUCCGGACUUUUCACGCCUAAUGGCGCCCGAGCUUAUUUUUUUCCAGCACAAACUCAUUUUUCCUCGCACAAAAACCCCCCAAUCACAUUUUUCCUCGGACCACAUGCCAAAUUAUCAUUUUUAUGCCUACCUGUCCGAGGAAAAUCCACCCAGCUGAACUUUUGCUCGAGCCAUAUUGCCCUAUGUGCGGGGGAACACCCCCACCGCCUGAGGAACUCUGGACUUUUCACGCCCGAUGGCGCCCGAGCUCAUUUUUUCCCGCACAAAGUCAUUUUUCCUCGCACAAAAACCCCCCAAUCUCAUUUUUCCUCGAACCACAUGCCAAAUUAUCAUUUUUAUGCCUACUUGUCCGAGAAAAAUCCACCCAGAUGAACUUUUGCUCGAGCCAUAUUGCCCGAUGUGCGGGGGAGCACCCCCACCGCCCGAGGAACUCCAGACUUUUCACGCCCGAUGGCGCCCGAGCUCAUUCUUUCCCGCACAAAGUAAUUUUUCCUCGAACAAAAACCCCCCAAUCUAAUUUUUCCUCGGACCACAUGGCAAAUUAUCAUUUUUAUACCUACUUGUCCGAGGAAAAUCCAUCCAACUGAACUUUUGCUCGAGCCAUAUUGCCCGAUGUGCGGGGGAACACCCCCACCGCCCGAGGAACUCCGGACUUUCCACGCCUGAUGGCGCCCGAGAUCAUUUUUUCCCGCACAAAGUCAUUUUGCCUCUCACAAAAACCCCCCAAUCUCAUUUUUCCUCGGACCACAUGCCAAAUUAUCAUUUUUAUGCCUACUUGUCCGAGGAAAAUCCACCCCGAUGAACUUUUGCUCGAGCCAUAUUGCCCGAUGUGCGGGGGAGCACCCCCACCGCCCGAGGAACUCCAGACUUUUCACGCCCGAUGGCGCCCGAGCUCAUUCUUUCCCGCACAAAGUCAUUUUUCCUCGAACAAAAACCCCCCAAAUUCAUUUUUCCUCGGACCACAUGCCAAAUUAUCAUUUUUAUGCCUACUUGUCCGAGGAAAAUCCACCCAGCUGAACUUUUGCUCGAGCCAUAUUGCCCGAUAUGCGGGGGAGCACCCUCACCGCCCGAGGAACUCCGGACUUUUACGCCCGAUGGCGCCCGAGCUCAUUUUUUCCCGCACAAAGUCAUUUUUCCUCGCACAAAAACCCCCCAAUCUCAUUUUUCUUCGGACCACAAGCCAAAUUAUCAUUUUUAUGCCUACUUGUCCGAGGAAAAUCCACCCAGCUGAACUUUUGCUCGAGCCAUAUUGCCCGAUGUGCGGGGGAGCACCCCCACCGCCCGAGGAACUCCGGACUUUUCACGCCCCGAUGGCGCCCGAGCUCAUUUUUUCCUGCACAAAGUAAUUUUUCCUCGANNNNNNNNNNNNNNNNNNNNNNNNNNNNNNNNNNNNNNNNNNNNNNNNNNNNNNNNNNNNNNNNNNNNNNNNNNNNNNNNNNNNNNNNNNNNNNNNNNNNUCAUGUUAUAGGAUUGUACCUGGACAACAAUAACUUCAAAGUUUUACGAAGUGUCAUUCUCUUAUAGUCUUAGUAUGCAGUUUUCUUAUAAUAGUUUUUGGAAUGGGAUAUUGGUAUAAUGCUUUGAAUUAACGUUGAUUUUCUUUUUAUGUUGCGAUCAGGUUCAUAGUGACUACUCUGAAGAUGUUAGUGUGAAAGUGGAUAGUGCAACUGAGGAAACUAUUAAAUAAGGUAUGUUACAUUUUAGAAAUUGUAUCUGGACAACAAAAUAAAUAUCUACUUGACUAUGAAUUUUUUUUCUUCUGUAUCCAGAUGUUUAAAAGCUGAAAGGUGGAGAAUUGGUAAUGAUCUUGCACCAUGGCAUCUGAAAAGAGAAAUCUAGUGAGAUAUGACUGUAUUUCACGAGUCUUCAUUACUCAACUAAUAAUUGUGAAUAUUUUUUAUGUUUUAGUCAUUGUAUCUUGAAUUCAGUUGUAAAUUUGUUGUGUUAGUGAAAUGGUGAUGGUUCAACGCUUGGAAUAUUAUGUAAAUGUAUUGUAAUCUGUAAAUAUAUCCAAGUUUAAAGGUAUUUGUGUAAAUGUUGCUUUUUACAGGGGUAAAAGAGUAAUUAGGGGCAAAAGAGAAAAUAUUGCGCUUACAGGGGUAAAGGAGUAA
Molecule: long non-coding RNA, 48845 nt
Filed under: Aquilegia coerulea
Lineage: Eukaryota; Viridiplantae; Streptophyta; Magnoliopsida; Ranunculales; Ranunculaceae
Description: long non-coding RNA (ACOE_LNC002199)
Source: RNAcentral